Molecule: long non-coding RNA, 58192 nt
Filed under: Coffea arabica (coffee)
Lineage: Eukaryota; Viridiplantae; Streptophyta; Magnoliopsida; Gentianales; Rubiaceae
Description: long non-coding RNA (CARA_LNC001593)
Source: RNAcentral
UUUUUUUUUGAAGUGAUAACAUCGGCAUAAAAUUUAUAUCUUAAUUAGAAUACCGUUUAAUGCAGAGUCUAACAGUUAGUUAUUCUGAUAAUUCAUAAAACAAAAUGAAAAUAACUUGAAGUUCUUGACAAAUGUAUGAAUGAUUAUAUCUUGGUACAGUUAACCUAUUUUGUUACUCGUGCUUGAAUGGUGAUAUCAACCAUAUUAACACAAGAAUUAAAUGUCUUUUAUUAAAGUUGAAAUAGAAGGAACUCAAGUGGGAUGCGUGCAAGAUCAAACAGGAAUUGGUCCAGAAAUGUCGAAAUUAACAAUUAAUACUCCGUCUAAAGUGGAACCAAGUAGCUAGAAGAAUAAGACAGCUCUUAAAUGACCGAUUUGCAUUGACACAAUCGACAGGAACAUAGGUACAGGUAGGGUUGAAAUUCUCUUUCCAGGAACAUCAACAAAUUCAACUCUAGUUGAAAUUCAGACAUUAGUUUUCUGUACCAGAAAUACAAAGUAGAAAAAAAAAUUAUUAAAAUAAAGGUUGCAGUAUGCACAGUCAAUUAUUUCAAGAAUCCCAGAUUGGGCCGAAGGCAGGAAUUCCAGCACCUUUGCAUGCAUUGACGACAUCCCUACUUCCCUCUGGAUUGCUAGUAACGAUGACAACUUCAGCACCCCAUUUCUUGGCAGUAUCAACACUCAUUUGGGAAACAUUUGGACGUCCAAGGAGAGCUGUAUCAUGAACUAUCACCUUAUCCCUCGGGUGUCCACUCAUCCAGGUCUUAAUUUCCUUGCCAAAAUUUUGCUCAACACCUUUGGUCACCCAAAGAAAGCAAACGUUGGCUCUACAUGGCUGCAGAAGGAAUGACAAAAACACACAGAUGCCCGAGCCAGUUGCCACCACCAAGACCCUAUCGUACAUGUUCACCAGAUAAGGAAGGCCUGCAAAGUGCACCUGUCGCACCCAUAAGUGGCUUGGCGGGUCAGAGACUAAGGACUUUGUGAAGUCACCAACUGCACCUGCCAACAUCAUGUGCUCAUUCUUCCCAUCAGAGAUUAUGCCGAAGGCAUGCCACUCUGAGAAUGGAGAUGGGCUAAUUCUUCCAAGUAUUCCGGCUUUGAUACCACCCUGGAACUUGAUAAUGGAUGCAUGGCCUGAAGGGGACGAGAUUUUGACUGGGACACGUCUCACUGUUAUCCAUGGGAUGAUAAUUAGUACGGUAAUGGCCACUGUAAACCAGAACUCCUGAUGUUUAACCAGUUCGGAGCCGAUAUCGCUCCUGUAGGAUUUAGUCUUGGGGUCAUAAGAGAUAGUGAGGAUCACAAAGGCCCAAAGGAGAGCCAGAGCUGACCACCCUGCAAAACGAUGAGUUCUCUCGAAUACGUUGUGAUGGAGGUGGCGAAUGAGAGGAAAUGCUGCCAAAGCAGACAGGCAAAUAAGUGCAAGAAUGGUGGAUGCCACGCCAAUUAUCUCAGAUGAAGUGCUUUCUCUGUCUUUGAGAGUGAGAACCAAAGCAUAAAUGAGCCAUGCAAUUGAGGAGAUGCCACAACUGCUAUGAAUCCCUCCAAGGGAUUGAAGGAGGGAAGUAAUCAUAGUUUUGAUUCGAAUAGGCACCCAAGAAUGGCCAAAAACUUUCACUACGAGCCAGAAUACGAUCCUCAAGAAGGCCUCACUUCGACAGAGAGUCAAAGCAAAUAUGUUUGCGAUAGCGAAUAAUGCAGCCUUGUUCCUGGCAUAUGGGAAGUGUCCGGUGGCAGCAAGAACCAAACCGGUGAUGUUGAGUGUCAAGCAAACAACAAAAAGCCGCUUGUAAACUGUGAACAACCCUUGAUCAAGCAGUAUAACAGAUAACCUGUUGGGGUUUGGUUUUGCUGCCGGCUUCGGCUUUUCUUCACGUUUACUGGCGGCUGGUGGAAGAAGAGGCGCUGGUGACAUUGAGGGCUUGAAUUUCUCAUUGUCAUGAUGAGCUUCAAGGCCUUCUUCAAUAUCAGCCAAAGUAUCUCUAUCUUCAUCGUCAUCAAGGUCCAGGUCACAGAAAUGGCUGCUGGUUUUGCUCAUAGACCUCUGUAUAAGGUCUCCAGCAUCAGGUACAAUCUUUGAAUCGGUUCCCCAUGGAAACCAAAUUCUUUUGCUUGAAGAAUUUGUUGGGAUAGCAAAUGGAUCUGCAUGAGGUUUGAUCUCAAAAGCUACGCCUCGGCAGCUUGAAAACCUCCCAAUCUUUUCACUCUGCAUGUUGAAGUUUUCGCUGCCUAAAAACAAUGCUAGUUUUUUUAAGCGUUUAACGCAGUUGUUAAGCUAGGAUAUUUGCGUUAAAGCUUGUGCUCUGACUGGGGGAUGUUUGCCUAUUUAUAGCCCUCUUGAGCUCCAGAGCUGACUUUCUUGGAUAUAAGGAUUUUUUAUUAUGUUUAGAAGUAACACAUGAAUAUGACUUAGUCAAGGAUACACGCGUUUGCGUUGUAAUGAAAAGUUGACUUGUUAUUUAUUGCAUUUAAUUAAAAAUCAAUUUCUCUUUCACUAACAUCCAAUAAUCUUGGUUCAAGUAAUCGAAGAAAAGUUGGAGCAAUUGUAAUACUAGUUUUUCAUUCUUUCAAGUUAAAACAACGUUCUGCAAUUUGUGGCAUUUGAUACCUGAUUAUGUAUCUCUAAUGGUACUCAAUUUAUGCAAAUUAAAUCUGAAGGGUCUUCAACUUCAUUGGACACUCAAUUUCUUUCGAACUUAUAGCAAUCUUGAUGUUAACUUUAAGUCAUGAAUUGAUAUGUAAUUGUGUUACAAUAUAGGGGUUACUUAAAAUUUUAGUUGUUUAUAGUUAGUUUAGAUAUUACUAGCUACUUGAUACAUGUGCUAUCUAUUCUAUAAAAAUUCAUUUUUGGGUACAUUACAUCAAUCCUGACUUUCAUUCCUUUUGGUUCUAUUCUGGUGCAGUUACUUCCUAUAGAUUCAACAGCUUUUCUUCUUGUAAUAUCCCAUGCCAUCCCUCACGAAUUUCAGCAAAAUUCCUUGCCUUGUUCUUUUCUGAUCAAAGUCAAUCUCCAGUCCAUGAGUUGAAAAACCUCAAUUGUACAACCGGUAAGAAUGAAGAAACUAUGCCAUAAAAAAAAAAAAAAAAACUAUUGAUCAUUUAAUGUAUUUUGAAUCUGAAUUUGGAUACCACAUUUUGACAGUCUUUCCAGAAAUACAGAGAAAAAAGUUCAAAAUAAAUGGUUUGGUUGAUUUGGCUGAUUCAAUUGUAGAAAUGAAGAAUCUUCUACUAUAUCAUUUAUUGGAAGGCUAGGAAGGGAGAAUUGAAAAUUUCCAAGUCGAUGAGCUUUUUGUCAUUAAUAAUGGUUGGGUAUCAUUUAUUUUGAGGCAGAAUUUAUGCAACUUAGUUUAGUUCGUGGCAAACUGGGAAGGCAAAAAGGGCCAGCAAUAAACAACAACUCAAUAAUAUCUCUUGACUUCUAUUCACAUUUGUCCUUUUUUUUUUUUCUUUGGACUUAUAUUCACUUCAUAAAGUAGGAAAAAUUCCAAGUCGCCAAAACAAAUUACUGGCCAAACUUGGAUUGAUCGUCGUGGAAUAUUAAAAUUGACAAAGUGUUUAAAAUUGGUCAAUCACCGGAAAAAGUAAAAAAAAAAUUUUGUACAUUUUAAUGUCUAUUAUUUUGCUUUCUGAAACGUGCAAAGUAGCAUUUUUUUUUUUUUUAACAAAAAAAGCAUGUAAAAAAGAAGCUUGUUGAAAUACAGACUUUGAGGGUGUCUGUUCCCCUAGUUUGACAAUACAGUGCAGUUUGUAGAACAUAUAGUUGCACUUUGUAAGUUCCAAAUUUUGAACAAUUACUGCCAAUACAUUAAUUAAGUUACACUAAUUAAUGACGGGUUUGGAUGUUGAGCGAACAACGGUUAAAACAGCCAAAAAUGGGGAAAUCACUUUAGAAAAAUAUUUAAAUGCGGAGUACUAAAUGUAUUUGUAUUCACAUAACAAGUCAAAAAAUUCACUAACAAAAAAUUUUCCAAACCUGCCAUUUAUGUUCUCCUUUCCAUUUGCUAGAGCAAAUACGUAUACAUACUUUCCUUACAAAAAAUAAAGGAAAAAAAAAAAACUCAAGGCAUGAGAAAUGAGCACCUGCAUCUUUAUCGGAUAUUCGAUUGUAAUUUCUUUAAUGAUUCAACAACAGAAACCGGAGCGGGUGGGGAAUUCAUGGCCUACCGCCAAAGAAGGCAAUAUGAACUGCAUUAAACGUCACUGUUUAAAAGAAAGCUAGAACAAUAAGAUCUUUGUAAGCACUCAAAAUCAAGGAAAAAAAGAGGGAAACAUUCAUCACCGGUUACCGAACUAUAACAAAAUCCCAUUGUUCAUUUUUUUUUUUUAUAUGGCUGGUGUCAAUUUAUCCAUUAAUUAAUUUUUCAAUUUUUGCCAUUUUGGUCAUUUCGUCAAUUUGCUACGGUGACUCUCUAAGAUAAGUCAUGCACAUGAUAUGUAUAUCAUGUCUCUAGAGCAAUUUCUCCAUUUUGCAGAAAAAUACCCAUGAACUUUUAAAUGCACCCGGGAUUUCUUGCCACCGUGUGGUGAGACACAUGCAACAUUUUUUUUUUCUUGGGGUGAGCGGAUACGUGCAACAUUAACAAAUACAAAUUAAUCAAAUAACCAAAAAAUAUAUAUUCAGAAGUAAAAUAGGUGGAUUGGCCCUAGAAUAAUUUUAGUGGGCAAUCUAAACUUAUCAAUCUAAAAAGUUAAAAACAAAAAGAAAAAAGAAAAAAAAUCCCCUUAGACCCAGUAAGUCGUUUUCAUUGUUAGGUAUUUCUUGCUUAAUUCCCUAUUUUGUCCGUCAAAUAUAUAUAUAUCUGAAAAUGGCCAAUUAUUUUUGAGUUGACGGGAAGUUUUUUUUUUUUUUUUUUUUGGCUGCCUAAAAUUAAAGAGACAAGAAUUGGAGCCAUGCAAUAAUUUUAGCAGUAGGGGUAGUGGCACCAGUAGGCCAAGGUCAAGCACUACUUUGCAUUGACUUGGCACAAGACAAACUCUAUUUGUCCGCAAGUCCAUGGCAAGUCUUCGAUCAAUCCAACAACAAAACAAUUUGAGCGAAUCUAUCCAUCUGCAUUCAUGUGACUAAACACCUAAACCAUAAACACGACACAACAAAGGGUUUUCACCGGCGAGUCUUACAAAAAAAACGCGUUUCAACGAUUUACGCUUCUCUGACUUCUUACGAAAUUGCUUCAUUCUUUUCCUCAGAGUUGAGAAUCUCUUUUUCUUUUGGUAGUGUAACGGGUUGCAUGCAUGAUCUCCCCACAAAGUCUGCCAUCAUAGCCAAAUGGACAGUUCAUACCUCAGAAUGCACAAUUGCCAAAUGGCUUACAUUAAUUUUUGACAAAAACUGUGGCACUUUUCUGAAUAGCAUUCUUCGAGAAGUGCUAUAUAUGUUGAUUAUUUGGCAGUUUUUUCAACACAUUUCUAUGUAAAACUUGAGAAAAAAAUUUCAAUCCAAAAGAAUGAACCUGAGAAAAUAUUAUAUGGAGACUUUUAGGCAAAGAUAAGGGUACAAAAUAAGAGAAGCCAGCAUAGUUUCAGAAACUACAAGAUUUUUUUUAUUUGAACAGGAGAUUAUUUGAAAUAUUAUUCAGAAUAAUUAUGUCAACCUCAAGCGGGAAUUUUUCAUCUAAUUAUCAGUGGAAUUAUGAGUUUCUACUGCACAAUAAGGAGCAGUGGCCAAAAGGGGGGAAACGGAAAACAACGGAGAUUGCUGACCUAUGUACGGCAUGGGAAUCUAGUCUAGUGAUAAUAUUUUUAGUAUAACCACAGACUUCAGCCUUGACUCGUAGCUGGCCUGUAUAACUAAUUGGUGCAGCCUACACUUCAAACUUCAAUUCCUACCUCAAGAACCAAUAUAUAGUAGCAAGGUCCAUCUAAUUGAUGACUUACAAGUUAAAUAACAAUUAUCCUCAUUUCCUUGAAUGAUCUUGGCCAUCUGUCACCUCAGAUUUCACACCACCAAUAGUACUUCAAUUCGCGGAAGGUCAAUGUAAUUGACAUAGAAUUUAAAUAACAAUUACCUUCGUUUCCUUGAAAAAUCCAGGGCAUCAAUCUAUCACUCGACCUAUCACAUCACAACUAAUACUUCCUCUCUUAAUUAGCAUGAGAAACAAGUUUAGGAAGGUCAGUGUAACAUACAUCUCCAUUUCCUUGAAUCGAUCUAGGGCGUCUAUCACUUUACAUUUCACACCACAAUAAUGCAUGCUCAAAAUUUUAGCUCAAGAAACAGAUUUUGAAAGGUCAAUGUGGUUGACUUGGAAUUUUAAAUAUUAUCUUCAUUUCUUUGAAAAAUAUAGGGCAUCUAUCAGAUGUGGAGGGGGAAGGUCAUUAGACCUCGCUUUAUCAACCUGAAUCUUAAUUAAAUGUUAGUUUCUGGUAAGAUUUUUGCAAUCUUAUCAAAAAAGAAAAGAAUAGACUUUUGCAACUUGACAUGCAAAUUCAGACAUUUCAAGUUGAAUGAUAGACAUGUUGUAUUCAUCAGUUGAGCUUUCUUUUUCCGGCUUCACGGGAGUAGAGACUUGAAGAUUUCGAUUCAAUAUUUGUUUGACAAUGCAGUUGAUACCACAUUAAUAGCGUAUUGUGUUUUUUUUUUUUUUUAACUAGUGUUAGAUGUGAGACAUUGUCCUUAUUUCAUCACGACGCAUUCAUUACACAAAUAAUCAAUCAGGUUUAAGGAAAAAAAUUAAUGCAAUUUGAAUUUCUUAAUUAGAUUUGUCAAAUAUUUUCCAGUCGUAAUCGACCCAUAAUUCUAGUCUCUCAGAUGAUAAAGUUGAAACAUUUUGCCAAUUCCGAUUAGAGAAGGUUGAAUUUGGGUUUAGAAUAUAUAUAUCUUCUUCAUACAUCAAUGAGGAAAUUUCGCUUUAUCAUUUUACCCGUUGGAAGAAAUCAAAUCUGAAUGAGUUUUGUACGCGUAAUUAGAUGCCAGAAGUCUUUAAGUGGAAUGAUUCGUGUUAGUUGCUUUAUCAUUGAUAGAUAUGAUUAUGCCAUCCUUGCCAAGUUGCCCAGCGCAGAUUGAAGCAUCUUCCAAUCUCUAACUUUUUGAGCAUUUUUUUUUUUUCAAAUCUAAGUACGUAAGUAAAUUUUGCAUGUUCUGGUAGUUGGGUUGGAUUUAUUAUAUUGUCAUGUCAGUAAAAGUCUUCAAAAAAUACUUUUCAGUGAAAAGGAUUGUGGAUUUAAUUGGAAGUCUUUAGGAUAAAUUGUCAUUUUGAGAUGCUAAAGAUUUCAAAACCACCAUUAGAAGUGAUAAUUUUAAUAAUUAACAGGUAUUAGCUUAAUAAUUUGCGGCAAAAAUGUCCUUUUAAUUUUUGAAAUAACUGUUUGAAAUACAUUCUCAUUAAAUUAGAAAUAUAAUCUACAACAAAAUAGAAUGGAUAAUACGUGCUUGCAUAUUAAUCUUUCUUUUUUGUUCGUGUAAGAACCUGUGCAUUAAUGUACGUGGUGCCUUUUCUGUAGUGCAUCAUUAUCAAAAGAAUCUGAUUUUGAGAUGAUCAAAGUGCCAUGGUGCAGGUUAAAGCCUGACAAUUUUUAAGAAUUAGUCUUGGUAUAUAUAAAUAGAGGAGUUAAAUCAGCCUCAAUAUAUAAUUAAUUAUUUUGCGCUUUCAGCAUAAUGCAACACACAUUAUUUAUUUAACAUCAUAAUGCAGGCAAUUAAUUGUUGAGCGAGAUAGCCACCUAACACUAAUACAGUUGGAAAAUUCAUAUCAAAACUAUUGAGUACAUGAUGUCUUAAUUUAGAGUCAAUCAAACACGAUGAUAUUGCUUCCUUCUAAAAGACAAAAGUGUAUAUAUGUUCAUAAUAUUCUUGUGUAGUGAAGACGGGUUUAAGACCUCUACAAUUAUCAGUGACAAUUGUUCCACACAAUGAGUGUUUUAACCUCAAAACUAUAGAUACUAAUGAAUACAAUAAAGUGUCAAAGUAAAAUUUUUAAUGCAGAUUCGAAUAUAAUUUUUACGUAAUAAUAUUUUAGUGUCUACAUUUGCUAUUUAGUGUGUGCGUAUAUAUAUAUAGUGUUGUAUUUUAUGAUAAAAUCACAACUUAGAAUUAUAGAAAAUCCCAAUUAACCCUAGCUACCAUAAUCCAAUGAGAAGAGUCAAUGAUAAAAGUUUGGAGAGUUUUAACUCUUAUAAUCUUGACUUGGCAGCAGAAGAGCACUAAGUGACUUAAUCUGAAUAUCUGCAUAGUAAUUUACAACUUAUUAAUUAAUGGUCAAACCAUAAAAUGAGAAAAAACUAAAGGGCAAUAAAGUUGUGAUUGAGUGCAAUAAGCUCGCUCGAUUAACACCAGAGGACCUUGCUGGUGACAAUUUCUGGUCUUUCUGGAAAAAAAUCUUCUCUAUAAUUUGCUUUAUUGUUCAUUGCUCAUAAGAAUCUCCUAGGGUAGACCCUGACCCUCGAAAUAAUAGUUGAACUUGCUUUCAUAGUUAGGCUAGACCCUUGAAACCCUAGUUAAACUUGCUUGACAAGGUGCUUUCAUUCGAUUCUAAUUGUGUUUGGCGUUUGUUUAAUUCUUAAAGGACUCAACUACCUACAGAAGCCCCUUCAAUUCAGGGUUUGACAAAGGAAAUUAAGUAGACCAGGUCACCGGGAAAAGUUUAAUUUAUUGCAGUUGCUCGAGGUCUUCGAUAUGCUAGCAGAAAAGUUUUCCUGGUCUGGGGACCCUUCCUCCAUUGAACUUUAGACAUCUCAACUUUAAAAAAUUCAACCUGGAUCGCAUCUCUGCAUGCAUCAAGUGUAAGAUUCUUUUAAGAAAAUCAUGAGGAUAACCUUUGGUUAAGAGGAAUGAGAUUAAGUAACAAUACAUUAGAAUUAUAUCUUUAGCAAACAGGCCAAUAAACUUGCAUCAUGAACCUUUUUUCUCCAAACUAUGCUUCAAAAUUUCCUCAAGUCUACGUGCUACUCGAUCAUAUCUAGGAAAAGAAACAAGAGGCAAUCAAAAGGGUUAUAAUUAAACAGCACAAAUGACCCCAAAAUGUUCUGACCUUGUCCAUCUGGUUAUCUAAAAAUUCGUUGACUAAAUGAUAUUUUUUGUAAAAUUAACCAGUGAUUUUUUUUUAAUCUCUUCCAUAACACAUCUAACCUCGAUCCUAGCAUGAUUCCUACGACUGGACUGCGUGGUUGACAUUUUUCUAACACUGAAAGACAUAAUUAAUUAAAAUUAAAGAAAGAAGAUUUACUUGCACAAGUAAUGAACUGGACUCCUCAUUAAUUGACAUCGUUUUCAGCGGAGUAGAAUGACAUGGAACUAGUUUUGCAUCACCGCUCAAUUUAAUGAAUAUGUAAUUAGGUCAAUUUAUGUUAGUAAGUGACAGAAUUUAGUAAUUGUCAAAAUCUUCAAUUAUUUACAAUUCCUUGUAAGCAAUUACAACGAAGGCCUCGAAAGUGCUGGGAACAACCUUCUUUGGUUAUGACCUAACCACUUACUUAUCAAGCUUUAAGCUUAUUACCAACUCAAUUACUACUUUAGAACAAAAUUAAGGUGUAAAUUACUUGCUAAUUACUUGUUUGGAAACGGAAAAGCAACCGCGGUAAAACUUUAGUGCAAAUUCAACAUGUACAUUUUUCACCCUUAAAGAAGUCUAUGGCCCUGAAUAGUUAAUGCUAACAACUAUAUAUAUAUAAGUAAAUUUUAUAUAUACUAUCACCGUUGAAUUCAUGACACAUAUACAAAAGUUAGAGUUUAAAUUCAAAUUUUGUAUAGUUAUUAUUCAUUCAAUACACCGUCAGUAUAAAAAAAAAUUAAUCAUAUAUAUAUUAUAUAUAUAGUCUGACUCGAUUUUUAGUUUUGCCAAUGCCAAUUUGGCACGACCUCACUAAGCUCGUUAGAACAAAUUAUAAAGUUGUCAAAGGGAAUUUGGUCUUGUUAUUGACUUUUUUGUAAUUCUAUCUUCUGCAUGACUUAAUAAUACUACUUACUUGGGAAAGUAACUCGUAGCAGAAACUCCAAAAUCAUAUCAUAAUAUGGGAUUAAAUUAAGAUUUGAAGUUUCUUAUGGCAUUCAUGCAUAUGAAAUUUUUUCGAUAAUUGGAUGGGGAACAUAGUGGAUAGAGUUAGUUGAUGAGAAUUACGAACAACUUUUAAUGAUGUGUUUAUAGUAAGUAAAAGAUUACCAUACUAAAGGGUAAAAAAGAAAGUACUUGAGAGGAGAAUCAGUAAUCACUCCUUAGCCAAGAGGACCAAGAUGAGUGGUUAGUUAAGGAAAUUAAAAUGACUCCAAAUUGUGGAUUUGGAUUGUUGUCAACGUUGAUCUUUUCAGAAAGAUAGCACAAGAACGUAAGUUAAUUUGAACAUAUUCGUCCCCUAGUUUCUAUAUAUACACUUAGGUGAUAUUGUAGCAACUUUUGAGCUGGAAGUAGUUGGGCUACGUAAAACAAUUCAUAUGACUCCAUAACCAAAAGCUUUUACCGUUUCACGGAGAAAAUUGUUUCCUGGGGAGAAUUGGUCAGGAUCGCGCAAACUCAAUAUAUUUUUUUGACUGAAAUCUUUCUAUAGUUGUGUGUCAUUUUUCCUCUGGUCGGUGAGAGCUGGUCAGUAACCGAGUCCAAUCAGAUUCUGGUUAAUUGGACUGUAGUAAUUAAUCUCUGAAGGUGAAUUCUGUGGUGCGCAUGAUGUCUACUGUCUGCAUCUGUAGAUAUCCAAUUGUAGAAAAAAAAAAUAUACUGAAUGCGAUCCAUUCGACAAAAUAUUGAUAGGGAAAUCGUAGCAGGUACAAGUGAAUUGUAUUUACAGCCAACAAAUCAAAGAGGUAGAGACAAGUUCGGCAUUUAGAAGUCAAUUCCAUAGUAAUAUUGGUUUGCAGUUUUACUAUCGUGCAUGCAACUGAUGAUAGUUGUGGGGUGGCAUUCCAUAGGCUCUGAAUCUAGUGAUUUGUCGUAAUUAGUAAUUCCACGCUAGGGGUAACGUAAUCAAGAAUUCAUUAAAAGAAAUGCUUACUUGGUCUUCUCUCCACCAGAUCCAACUAAUUAAUUUUACAUGCGAUUCUAGUUUACGCCUGCUAAAAUUCAUCAAAUAAUACUCUAAUUUGUCGAUACAUUAUUUGCCGAGCAGAUUUUGAUUUCGUGGAUAAAAUUGAAACUCCGGAAAUUAGAGAUUUUAAAUUUAAAUCUCCUAUGUCCUCCCUACUAUUUAAGUUUCAUCCUUCCCUUGCUGAAAAAAUUAAAAAAAAAAUAAUAAUAAUGCUCUACCUUUUCGACUACUUUCGUACGUAGUCAUUGCUGAGUGUUAAUCUGCCCAAACUGGAUCUGAAUUUUUGGGUCAAAUAAAUUUACAUGCCAAGCAAGUGGAGACCAGUAACGGCAGAAGCUCAAUUUGAGCAUCGUAGGGUAUAUAUUCAACCUUGGUGACAUUCUGAUAUCUAAGGAAUUCUAAAACUCUAAUUAGCAUGAUUAUUAUCAAAGUAAAUAUAAAGUGUAGAAUGUUUGUAUUUCCACAAGAAAAACAGCAGAAAAGUAUUAUUGGUUAGAUUGCUGUUUUUGCAUACUGCCACCCUAGCUCUCUUAUUUCGUCCUUUCUUUUUCCCCGUUUUUCGGUUGAAAUGAGAAGACAAGAUAUCUUGUUUAAUCUUUCCAUCUGCAUUGUAGUAGGAGUAAUAACUAGAGUGAAUGUUGAGGAGUGUAACUUUGCUGGUCCUGUUAUAUAUACUUCUUUAAUUUGAUAAACAAACGAAUCUGAGAGGAUAAAUAAUUUUUCUGCUGCAGAAAGAAAAGAUUUUCAAAGCCACAGAAAUGGGCACUUGAAUUAUCACCUGACACGGUAUUAAUAUCAAUUGAUUCAACAGAAUUAGUAGAGUUUUGAAAUAAUACAAGGACUGCCUUAAAUCCAAGAAAGUUCCCUUUAACUCUAUUAUAAGAACUUUUCAUAGUUAGGUAUCUCUAUUUAAGUCCCUUAUGUACAUUGAACUUGAUUCUACAACAUGACCAGUACGAGUUUUUUUUUUGUUUUUGCUCCUUUUCGGAAUUCUCUAUAAUUCUUUCUAAAAUUUCAAGUCCUAAUCACAAGUUUUUUUAUUAUUCCGAGUCACAAAAAUAAGUUCAAAACAAUGCAGGUAAAUUCAAAAGCUCCAUUUGUUCCAUCAAAUUUCUAAAGUGGGCUUUUUUUAAUUUUGAGGUGACAAGAAAUAUUUUGCAUGAAGAAGAAUUGGGAUCCUUUUUUUUAAGAGGAUAAUACUGAUUUUAAACCGCAACCAAUCAAUUACAGAUGAAACGUUUUGUCAACUAAACUGCGAUGCAUCGUCGCAUUGGGACCCUAUAGUGGCACAACUAUGCAGCCUCACCUUUGCAUUGACUUGGCACAAGUCACGGGCAGUUUCUUCGCUUUCGAUCAAUCCAACAAGAACUUGCUCGAAUCUAAGUACUUGUAUCCAUACUUCCUUUUGACUGUGACUAACCAGUAAAGUAUAAACACAGACAAACAACAAACGAUUAUCACGUACGAGUCUUGCAAACAAACACUACGCGUUUCAACAAUUCACGCAUCUCUGUCUUCGCACCAAAAUUGAUUCAAUGUUUCAGAAUGCAAUAUGGAAGUGUUAAAAGUUUAUGAUGGGACAAAAUAUUAAGUUUGGCAAAUAUUUUCUGGACAAUAUGUGAGAUUUAUAAGAGAUUGAAACGGUUUGAAGGCGCCAUUUGAUUUUACAUGGAAAAAAAAAUAGUCACUAUUAUUUAGCAAGAGAAGAUUUGAGAGAAAUUGGCAAGUUAUUGAAAGUUAGUCGCAGUUAUUUUGAUAAGUAUAUCUGACGAACUGUUUAUUUUCCUCCACAAUCCUACAACAAAAUUUGCAGGACACAAAAUACAGGAAAGUGCAGAGAAAUUUUCUAAACUUUAGUGCUAAAUGAAUACACACAAAGAAAGAAUAGCGAACUUUUGUUCACUUUCCUACAUUUUAACCUUGCAGCCAAACACUACCAAACUAUGCGUGUGAAAGGAUUCUAAUGCUGCUAGGGCUAUGGAAGUUCUAAUUUGAGACCUUGAGUUAAUCAGAAACUAACGUGCCUUAGCCUUUUAAACAUGCAUUUUGUGUAGCCGUCUAGGUGCUAUUGAAGUCACACAAAGUCAUUAACUAUAGAAAACGUUAACUCUGUGUGGAUGAGUUUUUUACAUUUUCCAAAAAUGUAAAAAGAUGCAAGGUUUUCAGUAUCCAAUAUUUGACAUUCAAAGAUCCUACCAAAAAAAAAAUUUUUUUUUUUGUUCAUCACUUAACUUGAACCCGGCUAUUGAUAUAAACAUUAUCACUGAUAGUUCAAAAAAAUGUAAGCAGGAUCAAUUGAUGGUAGCCGUAAGUAUCAGCACCCCUACAUUACUCAAUAAUUUGUUCAUACAAAUUAAUUGUUGAACAAUUACGUUAAUUUUUUAAAUUUAAAGUAACAAGUGUUUUAAUUUACUAUAGUAAUAGUCAAUAAUCUUGCACAAUUACAUUAAUUUUUUUUUUUUAAUUUAAAGUAGUUUUGAUAACCGAUGAAUUGACAUGAAAACUUCAAAAGACAAGUUGGAUUCGAAACCCAACACUAACUGGGACGCCGCACAAUACUGUUCGGGCCUUAAUUAGUUACUGGACCUCAACAACUCAAGUCCACUAGAUCUGUGUUUCUCUGAACAUUGGUUAAGCACAGCAAACCUUAAGGCCCAAUCGAUCCCACCCACGCCAAGAAGAAAAGGUCUCUGUGGAGAGUUCUUGUGCUCUAUACUUCAGCAGUUCCCUUUGUUAAAAAAAAAAUAGAAGGGCAAAAUAUCUCAGUGAUCCUUAAACUAUUACAAAUUUUAACUUUUUUACUUUUCAACUAUUAAAUAAGCAAUUUUAGACUCCAACUACUUAAAACGUAUACUCGUAACCUUUCUGUCAACUUAAGUCGUUACGUCUAACAGAAAUAGCACCAAAAAUUUCAAGAUCCACCUUUAUUAUUCUGUCGAACAUAACGAUUCAUGUUGACAUAAGAGCUCUGAGUAUAUGUUUUAAUUACUUAGAGGGUUAAAAGUGUCCAUUUAAUAAUUGAAGAGUUAAAAGUUGAACUUGGUAAUAGUUUAAGGAUUAUUGGGCCAUUUUGCCCAAAAUAAACUUAAAAAGAUACCUGCAACUUUGACUCCUUUUUUUUUUUUUUUUGUCCUUUAAGUUUAUAAGAGUAGCCUCUCAUAAAUGGAAAUAAAAAGCUUCUGAUGAUUGGCUUCAAGUUACAUGCUGUACAUGGAAUUUACUUACACGGAAGAUAUUUCCGUUUGAAUUUCUUCACAAAACCUUCAUCUGUCUUCUUUACUGUUCCAAAGACAAGGUCAUAAUAAUAUGUUAAACAAGUUUUUAGAAAUUAAUUUUAAGUUUCCUUUUAUUUCGCAUUUUCUUUUUCUUCUUGUACUAAUGUUGUCCCUGAACCAGAGCAUUCUUCACGUCUUCUAUUUAUUAAAAAAAAUUGAAUCAACAAAUUAUUAUGUUGCGCAAAAACAUCAUGAAGGCCUUCGAAUAAGAACAUUAGUUCCUUUCUACAGAAUAUUUUGCAAGCAUUGUUUCCACUUUGAGAGCAGUAUGGUAAUGUUUUUCUAUCUGUACCGAUCUAGUUUUGUAAUUGAAUAAGGGCUUUUUUUUUUAACAUGUAUCUUCCAUGUGUAAUUUAUUUCUUUUGAUCAAACAAAGUAUUUGUUAUCCCUUGAGUUGGCCAAAAUGGAAGAGUUAAUGUUAUACCUUCCUACCAAUUCGGGUUCAAACCUCUUUUAGAACAUCUGCCCACCGCACGGGAGUUGCCUAGUGCGUCUUACCCUCCGUUCCUGUGCUUAUUACUACAAUCCCUUGUCAGCCAAAAAAAAAAGUAUUGGUUGUUCUGUGCUAGAAUGUGCAUAGUUCUCUUCUUUAAAGAAAAUGAUAGUGUAAUUUACUAUAAAGAUGAUAUUUAGACUUAAGUUAUUACUACAAGGUAUUGAAUGAUUGUUGCAACAACCAGAGCUCAACUACUAAUUAUAACUUCUAAUUGCUUAUGGUAGCAAUAGCUAAGAUACCAUAUAAAGAUGAUCUUAAGUUAUUACUACAUGGCAUUGAAUGAUUGUUGCAACAACCAGAGCUCAACUACUAAUUAUAACUUCUAUAAGCUCAAACUAGAUAUAUUCUUGAAACAUGAUGUAAUUGCUUAUAGUAGCAAUAGCUAAGAUACCAAUAAUCAAAGGCAGAAUCUCCUCAGCUGAUUUAAGGAAUUCACCAAAUAUACUUCUUGUUUAAGCUUUUUAUUUGAACCCCCACCAUGUUACUUCUCUCACACGAAAAGAGAAAAAUGACAGCCCUCCUACAAAUCAAGCAAGAAAGCAAAUCAUUUUUUCAUCUCUACCAAAGCUCUUAGUAAUAUCUUUUUUUUAAAAGGAGCUAAGAAUCAGUGAGGAAUGUUAACGUAGGCAUAAUGUAGAAUCCAAAUUUUAGUCUUCUAAUAAUAAUUAAUAUGUGCAGGGCUACAAAUUUGAAUGGAUAAAAUAAUCAUUCAAAAUAUUUAUGUGAAAGAUAAGAAAAUAAAUAAUAGACACUAUUAUUAUAUCUCAAAACAGUAGAAGAAAGUCACACUACAAUAAAAGCUUACUAACUCUUCCAGACUCUCUAAAGAAAAUAUCAUAACCGAUGCUUUAUUUAUAACUAAUCAGACUUGUUCGGUAAGCAACCACUUACAUCAACAAUUAUCCAAUAAAACACAUAUUUUUAAUUAACACAAUUACAAAAAACCUGACUCCAAUAAAACUAGCAAAUAAAUAAUAGAAACUUCUAGUUUUUGGUUUAUUUUGCCAACAUAUAACACAUGGAUUUAGUCCUUGCCGACCUCUCACAGUCUCACUAUAAGUCUGAAGAUGGUUUUUCUUUUUUCUUUUUUCUUUUUCCUUUUUGGAUCAGAAAUCAUCAUCUUCAUGAUCCUCCAGCUCCCAUGAUCCAUCUGCCUGUUGAACCAUGCCUUUAUUCUGAAUACACCACCAAGAAACCGGUACACAAUGUUCAUCCUUUAAUACAUCCAUAUAUUUGUUAAGAAGUGCAACAUCACGAUUCACCACCAGCUUGAAUCCUUCUUGAAGCCCUUGUUUUCCCGCGACUCCAUGCAUGUAGCAUUCCAGGCUAUGCCAAGAUGACAAAUUUCCAGGAUUUUUCAGGUACUUUGAUUUAGUUGUAUCAAUUCGCAACUCUUCGCCGACAUCGGCAUAACCUAGCAAUGGAUAAUUUGGAACAACAUCUAGGGAAUUAUGAAUGCGUAGGACUCGAAGGUUUUGUUGCUGAGAGAACACCUUUUUGAAGCCCUGCCCCCCAACUCGAGGGCUCGCGUACACAAAGGCUGUGACAGGACAAGCCUUGCCUGGAUUCUCUAGAGAUUUGUUGAAUCCAUUAGCAACUAUGUCCACCGCAUUAAGGGUUGCCACCGCGGCACCCAAGCUGUGACCUGUUACAGUUAUACUAAUUUCCUCAUCUUUGAAUUCCUCCACCAGCCUCCUGACCUCGUCCAGAACCUUAAACAUACAUACCACAGGAGCAAAAAAUUAAACUUCGUACCCAAAAAUAAAAACUGAAUAGUGUUGCCAAAAACAGCCCUAAUUUAGAAAAGGAAAAUGUUAUUUGCCCUCCCAUCAACUGUUUUAUCAUAUAGUCAAAUAAAUGAAAAUUAUAUGAUUAAAAUAAUAACAGAAGUGUGAUUAACAAAAAUAAUAGUGCAAAUAAUAUUUCCCCAAAAGGAAAAUGUGAUCUUUUACCUGGUCUCUAGCACUGGUCUUGUUGAAAGGUGAUCUUGAAUCAUCUGUUGUGUAGAUGGAGUACCAACCUUGAUGCACCUUAGGAUCAUCAUUUUCACCGAAAAUCUUAGGUGCUGAGACUAAAACAAAUUCAAGAUCAUUAACCCAUUCCAAACUCCUAACUGUUCCUCUCCAAGCAAUCACAAUAUCCCUUCUUCCUAGUGCAACUUUUCCUUCAUCUGUCGCCACAGCAACAUAACCCAUCCAAUUUGAUUCCUUGCUCCAUGCCUCUCUUGAGAACGAUUUUAAGAUAAAACCCUCAGGAAGUUGGAUCGAUGAUGUCGCGUACAGGUAUUUUGUCACACGAUACUUAAAGGGAUUGCCAUUCUCAAGGCCAACCUUAGCGAAAAGAUCUUUCUUUGCAUAGAGGCAACUUCCUGCAUACCUUGAUGCCUUCUCUGCAUUGAAGGAAUCGUAAGUUGCUUGAGCCAUUUCUCCAUAGUGAAUGAUGUAUUGACGAAGAUCGUAAUCGAGAGGAUCCAAUAGGCCAUCCCAGUUGUUAUUGCCGCCGAGAACUUCCCAUCUUUUGUCUAUGCUAUCCAUCUUUUUAUCUAUGGUAUUGGAAUCUAUAUUUUGGUCAGUGCUAUCUGAUUUUUGGGUCUUUUUUUUUUUUGUUUGAACCAAUUCAUCGUAUUGCUUAUAUUUAUAACCUACCCGUGUUGUGAAUUUGUAAUUCUUGGUCUUCAGGAUGAGCUCAUCCUAUACACAAGUGAGGUUUCCUUGUUCAACUUUGCACAUUCCUGCACGUUUUGUCCGUCAGACUGUUGAUUAACCUCAUCCCUUCAACUUUUGUGACCAACAUGAAUGAGUGAGUCAGUUCUCAGUUAGCUGCGUUGACAAAUUUGAAGGAUAAUGGUGAAAUCAACCCAAGUAGUAUUAUUUCCAAUCAAUUCCUGGUGUAAAUUUUGCGUAACACUUGUUUUAUAACCUUUGGUUCGGGGAACUUGAUAGUGAAGUUUAACCCAAAUUUGUCCAAAAAUGUUGGCUUUCAAUUUAUUAUUGUACGAGACGUGUAACAAUAUUAGUUUGACAAAUAACAUGAGACAGUUCUCAAGUCUAAAGCUGCCAACUGAACUUGCAUUUUGUUUAGAUGUACAAUGAGUAAGACUAAUGGAGUACUGCACGAAAUGGACAAGUUUGACAUGUAGUGAAUUGCCUAUCUUCUUUAACUAUGACAGUUCACUACCUUAAAUUUCUUUAAAAACUUUUCAAAUCAAUUAUUUUCUUCACUUGGAAAAUCCAUGUUAUUACUAGAAAAGGAUAAUUCCUUUAACAUAACAUUUUUAAACGUUCACAGAUAUUUUAACCUUGGAGCAUCGUUCAAGUUAACUAUUGUUACAGAUGAGUUGAAAGAACUCUUAGAUUUAUUCUUAGUAAUUAGACAUUUACAUGCGUAGCUGCGUCAGUUAACUUCUCAAUUCUACAUAACACUUGUUUGUUAAUCAUCACUAGAGAAACUUCACCUUGAAUGUUGCUUUAUUACUUAUUAUAGUAUCAAACGCAUAAGAUAUACAGCUUGAUAGCUAGUAUGAGAAGAUUCGCAUGGCGAUAGCCGCCCGUUCAAUUUGCACAUAUGUUUAUUUGUAUUGAGUCAGAUACGGUGAGAGCACGGAUUUGCCAGCUAAAUUUUUCAUGUGGAGAAUUGACUGUAUAGGUAUUUUAUUCCAUGGCCUAUCCGUUUAACUGUGACAUGUAAUUAACUUAAUUCGGCAAAUACUUUUCAAAUUUAGGCUUUGCUUGAUAAUUUAAUUUUGCACUUGAAUUCAACGAGUUUGGACCUUAUUAUAUUCAAACACGUUUAAUAAUAAAAAAUAGAAUAUAUUAAUUAAUUAAGCGGCACUAAAUUAUCUAAGCAAAAUUUACUCUAAAAAAUAAGUAAUAGGAUGUUCACUUAUCAUUUAAUGUAAAAUAUGCUUAAAUUUUAGAAUUUUAGUACUUAACAAUUCAAUAAUUUAAUGAAUUUUAAUUUCAAAUUUUAAUUUAAUCAAACGCAUCCUAAGAAUUUCUUGAGUGGAAAUCCGUGCUAUUACUAGAAAAUGAUAAGUAUUACUUGAAUGUAUGCACAGUCUAGCACGUUCACAAAUUAUUUUUACUUUGGAGAAUACUUCAAGUUACGAAUUUUAGGUUUAUUCUUAAGUGGGACUUUUAAAUGAGUAGAGAUUCAUUCUCACGUUUCCUUCAAUCACUUACUCUAUUCUCAGCCGCUUCAACCACCUGUUAUUUUGACCAUGCAAUUUGGAGAUCAUAGUCGUGUACAAGAUGCACCGGAACAAUUGCGCUCUUUUACCACACCAUUAAUAGCGCUGCUAACUAGUCAAGCUGCUUGCAAGUAGCUCGUAAGUGACUCGAUCAAAUGAUUAGUUUGAAUUCAAUUUUAUCGAGUUUGAAUUUAAGUUCGAAUAACUCCAUGCAUAUAUCAAGUCAAGUUCGAACCUUUAUUUGUAUUUAUAUUAUAUAUACUCAUAGAAUAUGCAUGGAGUUAUUCGAAAGGACAAAUAAGUGUCUAUGUUUUGUAUAAUUUAUUAUAAGUUUUGUCUACUCAAUAAAAUUCUUAAAUGGUAAAAAAGUAAUAUUGUAACAACUAAAAAAGAGACAAGAAUUUUAGGUCAUUUACCAUAAUUUUUCGAGUUUUUUUUUCAAAAUUUUCAAGUUUUAUUUCAAUUCUUGGAGCUUGUUAAGAUUUGAGACUAAUCUCGGGCCUUAAUGAGUCGAGUCAAGUUUGGAAAUGCAUACUGACAGGUUAAGUUGAGCUACAUAAUUUUCUAUUCAUUCGACUUGAGUUCGAAUUUGAGUAGAUUUAUGUUGCAUCAGAAUUCGAGUUUGAACAUAGCACUAUUCGAACUUGACUCGACUCAUUAAUACCUCUAUACAUUAAUUUGUCUAUGCAAGUAUCCAUACAAUUCCUACAUCAUUAUAAUAAAUUUCCAACGUUUGAAUGGUAGGUUUUGGCCUAAUAUGUGCCUUUGCACAUUUUUGGAGUCUAAGGUCAACUCCUGUCGAUUCAAACUUGCAAGUAAUCUAUCUAUAAGCAUAGAAAUACUGUAGUAAGUAUUAUCCAUAAAAUUUGUCAAAUUUCUUUUAUGAAAUUGCCACAAAUUAUUGACCUGGACAAAAUUUGAGAAAGAAAUAUCGACCUAAUAUAAUUAAAACUCAAAUUGACAUCUCAAAAAUAAAAUAUUUCAUGCACAAAUUCCACUUACCAAGGUUGUUUUAUCUCUUAAUAUUCAGGUAAAGUUUGUCUGAGAUGCAAAGGCUGUAAAGGGAAGAAAAUCAAGCAAAUGUCCAUGUCUGCAUUUCCUUCCCAUUCUUGAAGUCGACAGCGGAUCUUUUUUUUUUCCUUUUGGUAAUAGAUAUUAGGUUUCCAAACCUCUCGGGCUACGACUUUUCUUGAGGGCUUAUCAAACGAGCUCAAGUAAGUCUUUGCUUAAUAUUCCACCCAGUUGCGAAGUGACGAUGCUUGCAAGUUCCGUAGGACCACGUCUGUCUAAAUUGUAGUGAAUCCACAAUUGUUGGGUAUUUAUUCUUUUUUGGCGUUCUAGGGGUGGGUGUGGGUCGGGUACCUAUCCCGUCCACCAUUUGAUUGAUCCGACCCGUACCUUACAGGUCAGCUAUUUUGUGAUUCUUACUCACCCCGCAUAUUAGCAGGUAUCCAAUUAUAAAGUAUCCGCUGAAAUAGAGUCGGGUCAACCGGUACCCGAUCCGCCCCACUUAUCAUUUAAUUUUUAAAUAAAAAUUAUUUAUACUAAUUUAAUUUUAUAUUUUACACAUUCAUCUAAGAUUUAAUAAAGAUUUCUUUCUCAAAAAAUGUUUCCCACAAAGAAACAAGCAUAUGAAAAGAAUACAAGAUAAAGGAAAAAAAUUAAAAGAAUUCAAAAUCAAUAAAAGUUUGAAAUAAGUUGCACAUUUUUUUAAAUAUAUGUUCCACAUUAAUUAAACUCUUUUUUAUAAAACAUAAGAUCAUGACCUCUACAAAUGAAUCUUGUAAAUAAAUUAUAGUCUCUCAUAUUUGUAAUUCAAUUUGUUCAAUGAAAUUACUUAUUUAGUUCUAAAUUAUUAUUUUAUAGUAUGUAUAUAAAAUAAAAAAUAAAAAAUAUAUAUAUGCCUGGCGGGUCGAGUACUUGUGGAUUUUUAAUUAUGUGACCCUAACUCGCCCCGCAUCUUAGCAGGUACCUGACCUUAGUUUGACCCGAUCAAAUAAUACAAAUCAAGUAUCCUAAUUUUCGGAAUGGGUCGGAUCGGAUAUGACGGGUUUUCGAGUUAGCGGAUAAUUUUGCCCACCUUUAUCCUUGACAAUGAUGCGAUUGGAAAGCAAAUAAUUUGCAGAUUUUUUCUUAUUAAUCCCUAAACAAGAUUUCUUUACUACUACUUUAUCUUUCUAAAUACUUUUGUAUCUUACAAGCAUCAAAUUACAAAAAUUGUUAUGAUAAAUAAUAAAAAAAUUCAAUUAAUCACUUAGAAGUUUGUAAACUACCUUAUUACUAAUAAAACUAUUGGAAAUAAAAUUACAACUUAAUGUCAUAAAUGUUUCUUUUACUCCCCUACUCCCACUUUGAUAAUUUUGUUUUCCUUUUUCAUUUGUUCCAAAUUAUAAUCCACCUUUCAAUUAAAGAAUAUAGUUAACUUUUAACUUCUUUAAAAUACCCUUAUUUAAUAUACAUUGUUAUCAGUAAAUAUAGCCUAACUUAUUGAAUAUAGUCAAUUUUUCACCAAUAAUUGUUCCGAUGGAUUAAGCGGUUUAUGGAUAAAACUGGUGCACCUUGGAAAGUGGGAGGAAUUUAAUAGCAGUUACCCGAUGUAUUGGAUUGAUAACAACUUAAAGGAUGAUCACAUGGGCUGAUUUGAAGAAUAUAAGUGGCAAAUCAUGUUUCAACUGCUAACUUAUUUAGCAUUGAUGGCAAAGAACCAAUUUUGCUGUACUGGGGAGAGAACAAAAUUGGAGACAAAGAUACAAGCAAUUCAUAGCCAACCAGAGCAAUUACAGAAGGCAGGGGAAAGGCAGCAACGAGAGAACCAGAGGACAUCAAAUACAUUGCCUGACAGAAGCCUCCAGAGGCACGGAUAAAAAUUAAUGUGGAUGGAACUUGUAGUGGAAAUCUGGGAGCAGCGGAUGCAAGCGGAUUAAUUAGAGACCAGUGGGGAAUAUGGAGAGGGGGAUUCCUGGCAAAUGUGGAAACCACGACCAACAUUAGUGCAGAAUUAUGGGCUACACAGCGUGGGCUAAAAUUAGCCUGGAAUAUGGGAUUUAGAAAGGUCGUUUUGGAAACUGAUUCUAAAGCUAGUUUAGAGCUUCUAUCAAAGCUGCCCCCUGACAGUCCACAUCACAACCAGAUAAGGCAAAUACUGAGCUUUGUGGAGCAACAGUGGAAAUGCAGAUUGCAACACCAGUGGAGAGAAGGGAACCAGUGUGUGCUGAUUUCUUAGCAAGGGAGCACCUAUACUCACACCCAGGAGGAAAGUUUCUUGCUGCACCACCAGUCGACAUAGGAGCCUGCUAACUCGAGAUGUGAUGGGCGUUGCUAUGCCUAGACUUGUAUCUGUGUAAUAUGGCCUUAAGCCUCCCAGUAGACCGCAAAAAAAACUACAAAACUAUUAUACUAAAUAAUAGAAAAUUUCAAUUAAUCAAUUAGAAGUUUGUAAACUAUCUUAUUGCUAAUAAAACUUUGAAUAAAUCUUAUACACACCGACAAUGUAUAUACUAUCACUGUUGAAUCUAUGACAUAUAUGCAGAAGUUAAAUUUUAAAUUCAAAUUCUGCAUAGUUGUCAUUCAUCAAAUACUGACAGGAAAAAUUAAUCCUAAAACUUUUGGGAAUAAAGUCACAACUUAAUGUCAUAAAUGUUUCUUUUACAUACUUUAACUUCUUCCCUACAUAUAUAUGUACGGAGAAAUAUAGCUUUGGUCUCCAAUGUUUGGCCUAUGUGUUAAAUUGGUCCCAAUAUUUCCGAUCAAAACAAAUUUAGUUCCUAAAGUUUGUGAUUUAGACAGAUUUAGGGCAAUUACUUGAAAUGGAACAAUGAUUGAUGGCCAAUAUCAAAUUGCCGUUAGUCAACAUUUUGACUUCACACUUUUGGUCCCUAAAGUUUGUGAUUUCAGGCUUUUUUAUUACAGUUAAUGGAAAAUAAUCAUAACUAAUGGUCUCCAAAGUUUGUGAACUGAAUUAAAUAUACAAUAAAUAUGAUCCUAAAUUUCUAUAAAAUUUCAUAAAACACUUUAUAUUGGUACAAUAUAAUUGUAGCCUAAAUAGCAUAUUUUUAUUAAAUAAGCUAUAAUUGGAUGAUGUUAUACCAAUAAUAAAUAAAAUAUAAAGUAGUGGAAGAAAAAGAGAAUUCUAGUUUUAUAAUUUAAGUUUAUUAGAGUUAUUACUACAAAAAUUGUUACAUGUCUUGUGCACAUAGACUUCAAAUUCUUGUAAUUAUAAAACCAAGUGAUAGUAAGUUUCAAUGUGGAGUAAUUUUAGGAAUUCUUAAGAAAACUAUCUUUUAUAUUUUGUUCUCUUUCCUAUCAAUUAAAAGCUAAUGUCCUUAAAGCAUUUAAUUUAAUAUCUAUGUAUCGUGGUAAUCAUUACUUGUUUUGCCCAAAAAUAAUAUAUAUAUAUAUAUAUAUGUGUGUGUGUGUAGUUCUUUCUUCAACGAAAAUGAUAGUGUAAUUUACUAUAAUGAUGAUCUUUAGACUCAAGCGAUUACCACUAAAACUAUUUCCUUCAACUGGCAUUGAAUGAUUGUUGCAACAACCAUUGCUUAACUACUAGUUAUAACUUGUAUAAAGCUCAAGCUGUUACAUUCUUGAUACAUGAUGCAAUUGCUUAUAGUAUUGCCCGUGGAGUAAGCAAUAGCUAAGAUACCAAUAAUCAAAGGAAGAAUUUCAUGAGCUGAUUUAGGGAAUUCACCAAAUAUACUUCUUGUUUAGGCUCUUUGUUUGAACCACCCACCAUGUUACUAUGACAAUCCUCCUACAAAUUGAGCAUGAAAGAAAAUCAUGUUUUCAUCUCUACCAAAGCUCUAUUAGUAAAAUCUUAUUUUAAAAAAUAGAAAAAAGCUAGGAAUCUAUAAGGAAUGUUAACGUACACAUAACACAUGAAUCAAUCCUUGCCAGCCUUUCACAGUCUCACUAUAACUUUAAUCCUAAGGUAAUUAAAUUUCAUACUAGAAAUUCAAGAACUGAAGAUGAUUUUUUUUUUUUUUUGUCCUUUUUGGAUCAGAAAUCAUCAUCUUCGUGAUCCUCCAGCUUCCAAGAUCCAUCCGACUGUUGAACCAUGCCUUUAUUUUGAAUACACCACCAAGAAACCGGUACACAAUGUUCAUCCUUUAAUGCAUCCAUAUGCUUGUUAACAAGUGCAACAUCACGAUUCGCCACCAGCUUGAAUCCUCCUUGAAGCCCUUGUGUUCCCGCAAUUCCAUGCAUGUAGCACUCUAGACUAUGCCAAGAUGACAAGUUUCCAGGACUUUUCAGGUACUUUGAUUUCGUUGUGUCAAUUCCCAACUGUUCACCAACAUCGGCAUAACCUAGCAAUGGAUAAUUUGGAACAACAUCUAGAGAAUUACGAAUACGUAGUACUUUAAGAUUUUGUUGCUGAGAGAACACCUUUUCGAAGCCCUGAUCCCCAACUCGAGGGCUCGCGUAUACGAAGGCUGUGACAGGACAAGCCUUGCCUGGAUUUUGUACAGAUUUGUUGAAUCCGUUAGCAACUAUGUCCACUGCGUUUAGUGUCGCCACCGCGGCACCCAAGCUGUGACCUGUUACAGUUAUACUAAUUUCCUCACCUUUGAAUUCCUCCACCAACCUCCUGAUCUCGUCCAGAACCUUAAACAUAUACACCACAGGAGCAAAAAAUUAAACUUAGUACCCAAAAUAAAAACUGGAAAUGGUUACCAAAAACAGGCCUAAUUAAGAAAAAUACAAUGAUGGGGUAGUUUCAAAUUUUACCUGGUCUCUAGCACUGAUCUUGUUGAAAGGUGAUCUUGAAUCAUCUGUAGUGUAGAUGGAGUACCAACCUUGGUGCACCUUAGGAUCAUCAUCAUUUUCUGUGAAAAUCUUAGGUGCUGAGACUAACACAAAUUCAAGAUCAUUAACCCAUUCCAAACUCCUAACUGUUCCUCUCCAAGCAAUCACAAUAUCCCUUCUUCCUAAUGCAACCUUUCCUUCAUCUGUCGCCACAGCGACGUAACCCAUCCAAUUCGAUUCCUUGCUCCAUGCCUCUCUUGAGAACGAUUUUACGAUAAAAGCAUCAGGAAGUUGGAUAGAUGAUGUCGCGUACAAGUAUUUUGUCACACGAUACUUGAAGGGAUUGCCAUUCUGAAGGCCAACCUUAGCGAAAAGAUCUUUCUUUGCAUAGAGGCAACUUCCUGCAUACCUUGAUGCCUUCUCUGCAUUGAAGGAAUCGUAAGUUGCUUGAGCCAUUUCUCCAUAGUGAAUGAUGUAUCGACGAAGAUCGUAAUCCAGGGGAUCCAAUAGACCAUCCCAGUCGUAAUUGCCGCUGAGAACUUUCCAUCUUUUGGCUAUGCUAUCCAUCUUUUUAUCUAUGGUAUUGGAAUCUAUAUUUUGGUCAGUGCUAUCUAUUUUUUUGGGCCUUUUUCUGAAACAAUUCUUAAAAUUCCCCAUAACUAAUCUAUUCAAGUUUUUAUUUUGUACUUCUUGCUCUUCAGGAUGAGCUCACCAUAUAUAUAUAUAUAUAUAUAUAUAUAUAUAUAUAUAUAUAUAUACACACGCGAGGUUGCUUCCGACAUUCCCCAACCCCACGUAUACGCCAUGUAUAUAUAUACAUAUUUAUAAACUAAAAAAACUAGCAACUGUUGAUCAAUCUCAUUCCUCUAACUUUGUAUAAUCAACAAGUUGGAUUUGUUGAUAAACUUGAAGAAUUAUAGUCAAAUCAACUAUAAUGUUAUUGAAUUCGUAAAAUCAAUUCUGGAGCAAAUUCUGCUAAAUACUUGUUUGUUUAACCUUUGAAUCGGGGAACUUGAUUAUGACCUUAAAGUUUAGCCCAAAUUUAUACAAGAGUGUUGCUUUUUUUAACUUAAUAUUGUACAAGACGUGUAAUAAAUUGAGUUUAAAAAAAAACAUGAGACAUUUUUCUAAACUAAAGCCGCCAACUGAAUUUGCAUUUAAGAGUAAGAAAAAAUGAAUGCACGAAAUGGCCAAGUUUGACACGUGGACAGUUAAGUAUUUUAUCCCCUUGCCUAUCUCAUUUAAUCAUGACAUGUAAUUACCUUAAUUCCUCAAAUUCUCUUUAGAGUAAAUUACAAAUAAGCCUCCUAUAGUUUUAUCUAUUAUCACAUGAUCCCCUACCGUUUCAAAAUAUCUGCUUCAUCCUUUUAUGGUUUCAUGUAAGAUGAAAACUUGACGGAAAAUAAUCUAUAUAAUGUCAUUAGUUGAAAUACCAGUAGUACCCUUAAUUAAAUGUUAAAUCAAAUGAUAAUUUAAUCACCUUAUAUAAAAUCACAAGAGAAUUAUAUGGAUAAAUGCAAAAAUUGCAGGAUUUAAUGUGGAUAUUUAUGUAAAUAUAAGGGUGUUAAAUAGAUAUUAUGAUUUAAUUACACGCAAUUCUAUAGUGCGUCUCGUCUAAUCUCCGUAACUGAUUAUAUAUUCCAUCCAUUUUUUACUUUAUAUAAAACCAAAUGGGGGUUGUAUGACUAUUUUGAAAUCUUAAGGAGAUCAUCUAUCAUUAUGUAAAGUCAUGUGAGGGGUUAUAUGUACUUUAACCUACUUUUUAAUUUAAUGCCCCUUUAGGGGAAACUUAUGUUUUUACUAUAAAAGAAUUUUAUCCUUUGCACAUUCUACACGUAACCUUGGAGCAUCAUUCAUGUUACAGAUUGUCAUAUAAUAAGUUUUUUUUUUUAAUUAUGCUACAUAAUAAGUUGAAAAACCUCAAACCUCUGUUCUUAGUAAUUGGACAAUUACAUGUGUAACGAUUCAUAAUCUUGUAUCCCUCAAUAACUUCUUUAAUCUACCAAACGCUUGUUUUUUAACCCAUGACUAGAGAAACUUCAUCUUGAAGUUUAUCCCAAAUAUGCACAAUAAUAUUGCUUUAUUACUUAUUAUAGUUUGAAUGACUAAGAUAUAUAGCUUGAUAUAUAACUAAUAAGAGAUGCUUCUCAUGACUAAAGCCGCCCACUCAAUUUGCAUCUAUUUUCAUUUAUGUUGAGAGAGAUAUAAUGAGAGCACGGAAUUGUCAAAUUUGACAUGCAGAGACUUGUCAGGUAUUUUAGCCCAUGGCCAAUCUGUUUAACACUUUAAUUAUGACAUCUCACAAACUUAACUCCUCAAAUACUUUUCCAAUUAAGACUUUUCUUCACUGGGAAACCCAUGUUAUUACUAGCAAAUGAUAAGUAUAACUUGAAUAUAUGGAUAUGCUAAUAUGUUCAAAUAACACUUUUACUUUGGAGAAUCCUUCAAGUUUCAAAUUUUAUUUGAUAAGUUAAAAAGAUUUCUUGGAUUUAUUCUUGACUAGGACAUCCUUAUGAGUAAAGAAAUGAUUCAUUCUCAUGUUCCCCUCAAUCACUUCACCAUUCUUAGCCACUUCAACCACACAUUUUUAUUAAUUUUUACCAUGCAAUUUGACGAUCAUAGUCGUGUACAAAAUGCAUUGGAACAAUUGCUUUCUUAUACCACGUCACCAAUUUGUCCAUGCAAGUAACCAUACAAUUCCUACGUCAUUAUUUCAUUUUGGCAAGUUUCCAAGAUUUGAAUGGUGUGGCUUUGGCCGACCAUGUCCGUUCACAUAUUCUUGGAGUCUAAGGUCAACUUCUGUUGAUUCAAACUCGCAAGUAAUCCCAAUUAUCAACACUAUCUAUACCAUAGAAGUACUGUAGUAAGUACUAUCAAUAAAAUUUGUCAAAUUUCUUUCAUGAAAUUGCCACAAAUAAUUGGCCUGGACAAAAUUUGAGAAAGAAAUAUCGGCCUAAUAGAAUUAAAACUCAAUUUGACAUCUUGAGAAUAGAAUAUUUCAUGCACAAAUUCCAACUUAAUUGCCAAGGUUGUAGUUUAUCUCUUAAUUUUCAGGUGAAGGUUUUUCUGGGAUACAAUGGCCAUAAAGGGAAGAAAUAGAGCAAAUGUCAGUGCCCGCAUUUCCCUCCACUCUUGAUGUUGAUAUCGGAUUUUUUUUCUUUAUUGGGGUUAUAGAUAUUAGGUUUCAAAAUCGUUCAAAAAUAAUCCAUCUAAGGCUUUUCUUGAGGACUUAUCAAACGAGAGCUCAAGUUAGAAAGUCUUUGCUUUGAAGUCGACCCAUCUGCAAGGUGACGAUGCUUGCAAGUUUCACAGGAACACGUCUGUCGAAAUUGUAGGAAUGAUAAUUCGAAUGUCCAUUUCUUGGUAACUCCACUUAAUUCCGUUAAUAGAUCCACAAACUUUAGUUAUACUAAGAUGCAGCAUGAUAAAAGAAAGUAUGUUCCCUUAAGCUAAGUGCAAUGUCUUUGAAUUGCCCUAGCUAAAUACUCCCUUCAUCUCAUUCAAAUUAUCAUACUUUUCAUUUUGAGAUGUACUAAAAUAUAAUGGAUAAAUCUUAUAUACACUGACAGUGUUAUCUAUCAAAAUCAAAAUUACUUUUGAUCUCUUUUUUCAUCGUUAUCCCUAACUUUAUCUAUAUUUCAAAUUUGAAAUUUGAAGUUUCAAAGAUAAAUUUAGAAACAAAUCCACUAACAUCAUCAUCAACCCACUAUUCUUAAAAAGUUGAAAUCCAAAAAUGCAACAAACAAUUUGGGACGGAGGGAGUAACUUGAUUAAUUGUAUUGUCUUUGUACUAUUUGUUGUUGUAAAUGUAUUAAUGAUAUUGGAUCUUGUAACACAAAUGGUACUAUUUUUUCUAGUCUGUCCUAAUUACUUUAUCACGCACACUUUCUAUUUUGGCACAUCACAUACUGUAGAACUCAAAAAUUACACGCAUAAGUAUAGGAGGUCACAAAUUUCAUAAGAAUCAUGUAUGGAGAGGCAAUUAAAUAAAUCAACAAUAUAAUAUCCAUUAUAUAUCAAACUUUCACACUUCUCAAUUAAAAAUAAUAAUAAAGCUCUCUAUUUAUAAACUAGAUGACAUGAUAAACAAGUUUUAACAGCCACAAUAAAUUACUUAAUAAAUUACCAAUUCCUAAAUAAUAAACUACUAUAUUUGACUUCAAUAAACUACUAAAAACUUAAUUUGAGUAAAAUACUAGUAUUAAAUAAUAACGUAGAGAUUUCUAUUUUUAGACUUGAUUUAACAUGCCAACGCAUACCUCAUGUUACCAUUCCAAUAGAGUUAAUGAUAUAAUCUACAUAUAGUAAAUUUGGUACUUUUCAGAAACUUUAACCAAUAAAAUUUGUCUUUCUAUUUUAUCUGCUAGGCUAAUUCAAGUACGGCAAAGUUCAUUUGGUUAAAAGUCCACUAAUAGUUUUCCAAUUUAAAUUCCAGAGUUCCGGGAUGAAUUGAUCUCCAAACAAGUACUUCGCACGCUUGAAGAAGUGGUCUUUGACAAGUCGGACAAUGAACUUGGUCCCUUCAAGAGUGAAAAGUAGAACCCCCCGGGCCCCCAAAAAAUAUGGUCUCGUUUGGCAGACAAGUUUUUUACCAAAUUUAUCUGUUACAAGUUUUUUUAAAAAUUUUAGCCACAGUAAAUUCAAAAAACUUCUCAAAAUUUUUAAAUUAUACACUUCAAAAUAUUUAAAAAAAACACACUUCAAAAAUUUUUUUAAAAACUUCUAUAGUAAGCUACCGUAAAAUUUUAGAUAAACACAAAAAAAACUCAUUUACCAAAUGGGAUCAUAGUUUCUUUCACAGUUUAUUGAUAUAUUCGUAAUUACCUCCUCUUCUUUUUUUUUUUUAGGUGAGGUGAUUACACACGUUAGUAUUUGAAUCUUUCGUUGGAACUGUGUGCUGCACUUCAAUCUGCCCUGUUAAAUGCACCUCAUAGGGUUGUAAAAAUAUGAUAGGACAUUAAUAAUACCUGCCUAUGUAUAUGAAUUGUAAUACUAUUUACACCACCAACUGUGCUUUUGAUGGAGCAAGUAGGACUGGGUAUUGUUGAGGCACUAAAUUUCCAUCAUACCAAACAGACAAAGUCUAUUGGAGAAAUGGACACCCUGCCCUAGCUGCACCUAAAGAAGUAUACAUGUUUGCACAUCGCUCAACAAAGUAGCCCCCCAUGCAUUCAUGGUUCACCAAACAGGACCCAAGACAAUCUGGGCUACAGAUGACAACGAAUCGAAUGUUUGGCAAUCUAGGACUGCCUAGAGGCCCAUCUGUAAAUCAUUUGUCCAGAGAGUUUGGACCCAGAUCAUCUUCUAUCCCUUUUUGGGGAAAGCACCCAGCACUGGCAGCCAGGUGUUGGAGUAAAUCAGUAAUGUUCCAGUUAUGAGUUCCUAUCGCACAGUUUUCAAACUCUUUCCAGGUGAUAGCUUGAAUACAGGACAUGACAUGACAUGAGAUUUUAUUACAUAUAUUCUAAUGAUUAAUGUGCAUGAUCAAUAAUUUUGGAACAACUACAAUGCAUCAAAUAACCACUGGGCCUUUGGCCGGUGGCCACCACCUACUUGGUGAGGGUGGGAGGCAAGGAUUCGAACCUUAUCUCUCGAAAUCUUGCCUUCCACCAAAAAUAUCACAUUUCUGUGAAUUGUUUUCAAAAAAUUCAAGUGAGUGUGCUGUGCAUCCGUCUGAGCCGGUGAUAGUUCAGUCCCCUUCAAUUUAUUCUUGGUCCUCUUUAAACCCGCCCCCUUUCCCUUAGCGUAGGAUAGAUUAGAUUUAUCGUCUCCGGUAUAAAAAAAAAAUACAAUGCAUCAAAUGCUUCAUAGUCUCGCCAAAAGGAAUGUAAAAGGAAUAACAUGAAUGUAUCUCACAUAUGUCAUGUCCGGAGCCGCAUUCUGUUGAGGGCGCCUCAACUUUAGUCGUUAUUAACAAUACAAGUAAAAAUUCUUCCCUUCUCUUACAACUGUGCCCCUUCAACUUUUUCAGAUUUUCACUUUUCGAUCACAUUACCUCCUCUUAAACGUUAAAAUAUGCUUAAAUUGCCCCUUGCUAAGAUUAUUCGAAGUACCAAAGCAUGUUACCUAAUUGAAGGAAAAAUGUGAAACAAUUAUGGAGGCAACUGCAUAACAUUAGUUUAAAGAUCAAUAACAUAUUUUUCUUCGUAACGAAGUGCAUUACAACUUCUCACAUCCUUUUUGUUCUCAACUACCAGAUUCAAAAUUUGAUCUUUAAACCUAACAACGAGGAGAGCUCCACUGGGCUAACAACGUUAGUGAUUUUGGAUGUAUUACAACUAUGAUUUUUGUACGCAUCAAAUUUUACACGUAUAACUUUAAUUACUAUUGCGUGCGUCUACUCAUCACGGGAACUUGCCUGCACUUAGCCUUGUCUUUAUAUUGAUGAGAAUACAUAUUUUAGAGCACGGAUGGAUGACCCUGCAAUUCUCGCUAACCAAUGCAACAGACACAAACAUCAAGAAGACAAAUAUUGUAGAUAUAAUUAACAGUUAACGUUCAAAAUUGCACGAAAGGUUUUUGAAUAUUGCUUUCUUAAUGUAUAAAUUUGUUGUUUUGGUACCUACACACGUGAAGUUAGAGCUGACGUUUUCUUUACACAAAUUGUAGCUAACAAUUGCAAAACUCUACAUCCGCAGACCAUGCACAUUUAAUGGUCGAUGGGUAAUUGCAGACUCUUAAGGGGGAGAUGGGUCGGGGUUGGAACAGGUACUUUCUGACUCUUAGUCCGGAUUUCAUUUCUUUUCUCCGCUUUUUUUUUUUUCCUUCCAAUUCAAUCAACAUAUGCUCAUUAAAAAAAAAAUUUUCUUGAACUUGUGGAAAUUAAUGGCAUUUGCCAACGCCAGCAAUCCAGCCGGGAGCUCCGUGAAUCCGGCCAACGCGGCCGGCGGUCGUGAGCAGAAUAGCUUUCUUGAUGUUGAUUUAAUCGUCUUCCUGAGCCUGGCAAACUGAAAAUAUGAUCACUACUGUUAUCGCCUACUUCAUUUUAUGCAUUUAUACGUCGCGCCACAAAGGAAGAUGAUCGGUCAUCACCCCCCCGAGAAUCCAUGCAAAAUCUUCACGGGAAUUAGAUCACCUUCAAUUUGGCCAUAGCUACCAUGUAAAAACAGUAGUACAUGCAUGAGCCCCUUGGUCGGUGUCCUUAUGAAAACAUUCAUUGAUUCACAAAAUCAAUCCAUCUCCAUUUUUUGACAAGCCAUAAAUAGCUCAAAGAGUUCAAAUUGAAGUCACUACAGAUAUAAACUAGUAGCAUGCUUGUUUCACAUGUAUGAUGUAUCCCUCGGUGGCCUCUGGCUAUUUUGAGCAUGACUUUGUUCAUGAAGUUACUUAUUAGCCUAAUGUAUAUUGGAUAAGACGUUUUAGACUAAGACUAGUACUGGAAUUGUAGAUUGUCAUCGGCCAACUCAGACUUCUGCUUCCUGAAAAUAGUUGUUGCUUUGUUUUGAUUAUAAAAGGGAAAACGUGUUGUGGUUUAUUAAAGUAUGCCCUGAAGAAAACAAAAGAAAAAAAUGAAGUAUAGAUCAAAAUAUUCAGGAUAACGAAUUCUUGUAGCCUCUUAUUUUUAUAUCUUGAAACAUUUAUGCAUGGGCAUACCAAAUUAUAUUUAAGAAAGACAACAUGUAAAAUAAUUCCAAACAAGUAUACUCCAAAACACGACUAUCGAUACUCCUAGAGAGGUAAUAAUAAUACACUAUUGUUUAUCUAUCUUUUCCUUUUAUUUCACUGUGAUCUGGAUAGGGAAAAGAAUUGUAUCAUUUGCUUGAGGAUUAAUUGUACCCUGAAACCAUAUGGGGUAAACGUAGAGGAAGAACUGAAGUUUGAGAAAUUCGAUGUGAUUGGUCAGAGCCAGAAAUUUUGCUUGGGGGAGGGGCAAAUAAUAGAGGAUGUAGAAAUUCAAAAUAAUGAAGCAAAGAAAGUAUCUCAAAUUACAUUCCAAAUUCAAAGUACCUUAACUAGCAUUUAAUACUAGGACAAAUCUUAAACAAAACAGUCAAAAUCAAACUCUCUAUCAUUUUUUUCUUUAGCAAUUCGAGUUUUAAGCGAUGAAAAUAUUAUUUUAUUAUCACUCACUACGUAGAAAAUUAUGAGUGGUUAUACUUUUUUGCAAAAAAAAUAGAAUUCAAAGAAAUUAAAUUUGAUUUGAUACUAAAGUAUAAUAAUAUAGAAAAAAUCACAUAUUACCAUAUUGCAUUAAAGUUAGAUGUUAAGAAUAAUAAUCUCCACUUAAGAAUAAUUCUUUAAAUAAAGAAUAAUUAAAGAUUGAAAAUAUAAUAGAGCAAUAUCUCUAGAGUAUUGAAAAAUUAGCAAUAGUAUUUGCCUCAGAGUAUUUGGAAUUGGAGUUUAGAGAUUGAUAGAUAAGUUCAAGAUAAGAAACUUUCACUUUUCAUGUUUGUGACAGUGGCGUAUUGACUUUAUAUGUUGAUUUUAUUUUCAUUUUCAUUUUUUACUUCUAUUUUAAUUGGUAUUUCAGUUGAGUCUACUUAGGAUUUGAUCGAUACUUUUAAUUUAUUUAAGAAUUAGAGGUUGUUAUCUUAUGUGAAAGUUAUGUAGAGAAAGGAUGUGAAAGUUAAUAUUAAUUAUUUUGGAGGAGCAAAAUUGGAGAAUUUUAUUAAAUUGUUAGCAAUAAAUAUAUACCAAAAUAGGAUUCACCAAAAAUUUUGUUCCCCUCGUGGUGGACCAUGAUGUUACUUCCAUACAUAUAGAAAGCUGAGUUUUAUGCAAAGAUCACAGAUUGUAUGAUAGUGAAAACACGUAAUCGCCAAUAUUAACUCUGUAUCCCAUACAUAACUCUCAAAAAAAUUUGUUGAUUUGAUGAGUCAUGAAGCCUUUGCCAACCACAUACUACUGGGAUGAUUUUGCCCAACUGUUUUGUAUAUUUGACAGAUACAGUUCUGCUAUUUGGUCACUUUCUCCAUAAUAAUAAGAAUAAGCAAUGUUGUUGUUAUACUUAGACAUUCAAUUCUUGGACCAACAAAAGGAAAUCGCCGACCUUCUGCUCAUUGCUUACUCGUGUGCUUCAUUGGCUAAAUCUGCAUGUAUAGGUUGGCUAAACUAGUUUUUCUUGGGUCCCUAUUUGGUUUGCAUUUGCUAUAGAGGUAUUCAAUAUAAACAUAUUUGGAAUGGCCCUUGAUAUGAAGUAAGAUAUAUUGCAUUAGUUACUCCCUUGUAGUCUUGUGCCAUGUCGUGUAACUCACAAUACCAUUUUUUUUUCAACAAACGAUAAUAUCUUUAUAUAUAUUAACACUUGAUAAUACAAGGAUUAAUUGCAAAAGGGGGCAACAGCCCCUUCAUCUAUUCUAUUUGCGUCUAUCAACCAACUUGAGAAGUCAUUUACCCAAUCUAUGUCAUUAACUAGCUUUGAUGCAAAAAGUGCUAGCCUAUGACUUGCUAUAUUAGAUGCUCUAGGCACCCAAGAUAUUGUGCAGUAAUCAAAAUAAUUUCUACUAAAAUUUUUUUUUAAAAAAAGAAGAACAAUCUAGACACUGAAAAAUGAUGUAGUUUACCUGCUUGAAGCUUGAGUUAUAUAGUCCAUUAAUGAUCUUUAAGGUGGUAUAUGAGAAAGAACGAGUAUGUAUAUCAUAAGAAUUUAUUUUUUUUUGCUCAAGUCUCUGGUUUCUUUUUGAAAUAUUAAUUGUUAUCAUGUCAAACCAUCUUGCCCUUUAAGAAUAUUCUAUUCCACAUAUGGUAGAGCCAGUGAGUAGAAGAGAUAAUAUGUGUACAACUACUAAUUUGUGACAAUAUAGAUUUGCUAUCAACUUCAGAUUGUAAAUUGCAAUAAUACAGCCAUAUUCCAACAUAUAUCAAGAUGACCAAGGCACCUAAGGUGUUGAAUAUUUAUCCUCAUCAUUGUCCAAGAAUGACAGGUCUAAACUGACUAAAAUGCUGAAAAUUCUUGUGGAUAAUGACUAGGAAGACUACUCGAUUAUAAUCGCUGGUAUGACUAUAAAAAUUGUUAAAAAUAAUUUUUGAAUCUAAGACUCCGUUUGGAUUGGCUAUAUUUUCAAAAAACAAAAUUUUCAAAUACAAUGUUACAGUAAUAUACAAUAACUCAAAAACUAUCUCAUCCAUAUUAGUAUAUCAAAUAUUUUUAAAAAAUUUUAUAGUAAAAAUUUUUCAUAUACACUGCGACAAUAAAAUAUUUCAAAAACACCCCAAAAACUAGCUAAUCCAAACAGAGCCCUUGCUAUUUGAGCCCAACGGGUACCCAAGUAUUUCCCAAAAUUUUUCAUCAAUUAAUGGGUACAAUUGGGAUUUGUUCCAUUUUAAACCCAAUAUCAAAUUUCAGUACCCAUCCCGCCCAAAGUCCGCAACGGAUCUUCUGUCCUACACCAUGUGUCACUCUCUAUCCCACUUUUUAUUAUAUUGUUAUUUCUCCCACAUAAACAUCAUGUUUUAAUUCUUUUUUGCUUCCUUAAAAUCCAAUAACUAUUAAUUAAGUAAAAAAUAAAUACAACAGCUUCAAAAAAGUAAUAUAUAAUAGAAAAUUAAAAAAUACAGUAGAAAAUUCAUAAAAAAUCUCAUUUUUUAUGCAUUUUGAUUUUUUGAGUUUGUUAAAUAUUGUGUAUUACUCAAUUAAUAGUUAUUGGAUCUUAAGGAAGCAAAAAAGAAUUAAAACAUGAUGUUUAUGUAAGAGAAAUAGCAAUAUAAUAAAAAGUGGGACAGAGAGUGGCACAAGAUGUAGGACAGAAGAUCCGUUGCGCCCAAAGUCCCUAUGAGCAUGGGUAACCCAUUGGGACUUGGAACAAAUUGCAUGUCACAUAUUCAAAAGGCCAAAAAGGAUUUACAAAUAGGAAGUUACAAAAAUCAAAGCCAAAUGUUGCCAGCAGAAGAAUAAAUCAUCAAUGCAAGUCCAUGCAGGCAAGUAGUUCCUAAAUGCAUUUAAUCAUCAAUCACCCUUGGUUGGCUACGUUACCGGCAUCCUUCGUGAAGCCAUCCACGAUCGGACAAUUUUGGGGAUGCGGGCAAUUUAAGGACCACUUUCAUUUAUUAGUUCGUUCCCAGCUCUUCUCUGUCACAUUCCUUUCUUGCUUUUCGGACGCUAGCUGCUCAAAUCUUUCAUUGCUUUAGCAUUUUCUGCCUCGCCUUUUGAGAUGAUGAUUCAGGCUGCAUUUGAUUCUUUCUUUGCAGAAUCAAAUUCAUUUGCAGAAACCUAAUGUUCGGUUAGUUCUUGAACUCAAUUUGUUUGACAGAAAACGUCAAAAUUUUUACAUGUUUUGCACCGGUAAAAACUAGGCAAAGAAAGUUGGUUUUACAAUUCUUAUUAAAAGGGGUGUUACAACGGUAAAAGAUAGGUAAGAAUAUUAAUCUUCUAAUUCUUAUUGAGAAGGGAGUUGUAGCGUAGUGAGGCUAAAUUGCAGCUUUUUGUUGGGUCAAUGGAGAUUUUAAACUUUAAAUGGAUGAAGAAGGGAAAUGUUAGACUUUAAAAGUCGAACUAAAAAUCUCAUGUUGUUAAAUUAAUGUCUCUAUCAACAAAGGUAAGACCACAUAAAAUUAUAAUUUGCGAUAAUUAUUUGAGGAAGUUCAUAUGCUAAUAAAGUAUUAUUAUCUACCAAUUUGUGUAAAUUUCGGUAGAAGUAGAAUUAGUAUGCCAUUGACUAAAUUAAAUUCACUCUGACGUAUUAAGAAAUUGCUAAUAUCUUAGUUUGUGUAUACAUACAAUUACUUCUAAUCUACUUUAACGUUGAUACGCCGAACACCAUCAUCAGAAUUUAGAGGACUUAUAUUUAAUGUUAUAGUUAUCAUGUCAGAAACCUCCCUCGAAUUUCUGACAAUUUUAAUUAUUGCCCUUAAAUUUUCAAUAUUACACCUGACUCUCCUAUUUCCAAUUAAUAUUGGAGUAACAAAAAUAGCAGAUUACAACACAGAUUUAGUCCUAAUUACUAUUGGUAUGUUAAGCACUGAGUGUAUCUUCAAAUAAAGUGCACUAGAAUAAGCCAUCUCUACACAUAUUGCAUUAAGGAAAUCAAUUUUAGUAAAAUAAAAUCUCAUGUAACUGUGUACCAAAGGCCAGCUUUCAAAUGGAGCUAUAAGAACGUAGGGCAGGAACGGUUGAAAAUUGAUUUAAAAAAAAAAAAACUGUAAUGCUCCAAUCAUUGUAUGUACAAUGAUUUUAACAUUGCAUAUGAGGUCCAUAAAAAAUUAUUUUAUAUUUACUUUGUAUUUAUACUCUGAAGAAAUAAAUAUACAUCUUGUGCAAUGGACAAAAUCAGCAGAAACAAUUGAUCUACCAACUGUUUGUGCCCUAAUGUCCAGCUUCCAGAUGGGGUGACCAAAAAGGUGAAAGGCACUGGCCCAAAAUAUAUUAGAAAAAGAACACUAAAUUGAGCAAGGAGUUCAGAUAUUCAUACAUCAAUUUCAGCACAGGGCCCUCUUGUUCUCUCUUUUUGGUAUUCAACUCUUUUCUCCAAUUCCAAAACAACUGUGAAUAAAAUAAGACAAAUCACUCAGUAAGAAGAGGGGUGGGGUGGGAUUGCCUCAAGAGUUGCCGGGUUUUGAGGUUAAUUCUGGAUUAGGUUUAUAAAACAACAAAAGUCUGAUUCAGGCUGUUGAAAAAAGAGGGGUGGGGUGAGCUAAGUUGGUUGUUUGUCACCAUUUGACAGGCUCAGCAUAAUGCAGUGAAAGUGAUGUAUCAGCCCUAUCAAAAUUCAAAACAAAAUCUCUUCAUCCCUUCCAUUAGUGCUUUGCAUGUUCCAUUCAACUGCCUCACCUAAAUAGUUGGCCAUGCAAACAUUUCCUUUCCUUGUCCUUUUGUCAAGAAAUUAAGGGCUAUAGAAGGUGCUGAUUAUAUCUAAUUGUUUUUAAGUUCACCUGCUGUUCGCUUUUAAGCUAACUAAUGUUUGAAUCAUAAUCGAAGCUCAUAAUGAUCUUCUUUUUUUUUUGUUGCUUGUAAUAUGCAAUGAAUAGUUAUUAACUCCUAAAUUUCAUUGUUUCCCACGGAUAUAUACACGCAUACACACGCGCACACACAUUUGGAUUCCCAUGCAUUUACAAUUAAAGAAACGAUUAUGUACUUUAAUGAAGUUAGUACUUCCACCAAAGGGAACUACAAUACUUAAUAACAUUUUUGAAACUAAUGAUAUCAAGAUCAUGGCAUAAAUUUAGCAAAGGCAUUUUCAAUUACACCAAUUACAAUUAUUCUCUCUUUGUUAAUGUGUAGGAAAUAACCUCCAUAAUCUCAGGUAAAUUUAAAUACUGCAAGAAUUGCAAGUGCAGAGGAGUGAUUAAUUUGAACAAUUAGACAUUAAUGCAAAUGGAAGCCAAUUGUCUCUCCUAUGUUGUCUAGGGUAAGUAAUAAACAAAUUUUCAGCUUAAUAAAGGACCAAAAAUUUUAUUCUUUUUUUUUUCUAAAGUCCUUCAAGGGAAAAAAAAUUUCUAUGAUAUUUAUCAAUUUGUUUAGUCUAUAACAUACAUGGACUAGUGAUUUCUCUUCAUUUGCUUUUUAUCCAAAACGACUGUUAAUGGACUCCAAUAGAAUUAUUACUUUUACUAAACAAAGUUUCAAAUACACUUACGGCAUAUAAAUAUAGCUAUUGCUUGUUUAAAGGCAAGAAUUAAUGAGUUUUGUGUCCUGUACUAUGAACUCCUACGUACAUAAGCACAACAUCACUUAAAAUACUGAUCUGGCUUUCCUCUUCUGAACAGUUUUAAAUAGCAACACUCAAAAUACAUAAUCAGCAAUGAUCAAAUCAAGUAAAAUUUUUCAUGGCUGUCAAUGUUAUAAAAAAAGUUGCAAAACAAACAAGUGAAAUACAUACAUGGCAUACAGCUAUGGCUAAUGUUUAUUUAAAUGCAAGAAUUUAUGAAUUUUGUGUCCUGUAAAAUGGACUCAUAACCACAACAUGACAUCAAUUACCCAAUCAUUUUUGCCCUUUUUUGAAAAGUUAUAGGUGUCAAUACUUAAAGUACAUAAUCAGCAAAAUUCAAAUUGAGCAAAAUCAUGGUUAUCAGUGUCUAAAAAAAAUUAAAAAAAUAUAACAAAGGAAAUACCAAAACAAACAGGUGACAUCACUCUUAACAAAUCCGAACAUCACGAUGACUAAGAAAACCUUUAAAUCGAAUUAACCAAUGUCACAAUGGAUCUUUGUUAAAGAUAAAAGUGUAAAACUUGGAAUUUAUUCAACAUUAAGUCAAACCCCCCAAGUCAAAAUUUGGACAUAAAUAAGACCCCCUGAAUUCAAACCAAGUAACCCCCAAAAUUCCACGAAUAUAUGCAAUGUAUCGCGUGAUUUUCAAUUAAGUUAAAAAAAAGCCGACCGUUGGAAACCUCUUUUCACUUUCCUAAUUUUCUACUAUAUCCCAUAUCUGAAAAAUUUCUCACAUUGUACUCCUCCAACUGAUCACCAUAUAUAGCUUUGCACCAGAAGUUCCACUCUCUCAGUCAGCGCGUUACUCUUCUGCAAUGCAGCAUAGCCCAAUCGGCCUAGCCUAGCAACACUCCCUCUCGCUAACGUGAGUGAAAAUUCAGGGUUAUUGCAUCAUUAAUUACUGUAUGUUUUUUUAAGCCUUCGUAGGUUUUGAGUUCAAACAAGACGUGUUUCCUUAUGCUCAACCCAAAAAAAAAAGGUUCUUAAUCAUUGUACAUGUGAUUUUAAAUAGUAACUCAUGUUUAACCUUUUACAAAUUUCUCAAGAACCAUAUGUAUAAUUUAAAUAAUAACUCAUGUUUCAUAUAAUGUGGUACAAAUCAAUUCUAAUCAUAUUUUCAUUCAGUAAAAUUACUAGGUUUUAUCUACUAUUAUUUGCUUUAGGGCUUAAACUAUUCCAAAAUUAAAAGAUCAUAUUAUCUUAAAAACUGUUUGAAAAUUAUGGCAUUAAAUUUUCAUUUUGUAUGAGACCUACCACAGAUACAUGAGAAUCAAUCGAUAUGUAUUGCUUGUAAACUCGAUUGGUUUGUUUAUCAAAUGUGUUCGAUGUUUUUUGUAACCAACUUUUGCAUUUAUGAUUGUCUCUAUUCUACUUAAAUAUCAAUUUAACUAUUGAAUUACAAUUUCUUUUAUUGCUUAAAACCAACUUCUAACUAAUAUUUACAGAUAUGUACAUCCAUAAUAAAGUUGUGUAUGCAUACUCAUCUGGACGCAUACAAAAUAAAAAAAAAAUGUACGCUUUUUUAUUAUUUAUUGCCCAAAACUAAACUCAUUUAUUAAACAAAUGCAAUUGAGUUCAACUCGUAAACAUUCAUGUAAGCUUAUUUAGACUUGUAUAUAGAUUAAUUGGAGUCUAAUACUCCAAUUCAAUAACAUCAAAGUACUUUCAUUGAAGCACAACAAUGAAAAUGUGGAUCAAAUCUAUUAUGUUGAAGAGAAUAUGGAUGAGAUGAGUAUUCUUUUUUCAUAAUGGAGGUGAAGUCUUAUUUUAAUUUCGUUGGUGAUUAAGUAAACUUCUCUAGUCUAGAUAGUUUAAAAUUUAUUUUACAUUUGACAUUUGGGCACCUUCUUAUAUUUGAUAAAAUUUUUCUUGUUUAAUAGAUUUACUAAAAUGAUUAAAUUUGAUGAGUUAUUUUUUUUUAUAGGAUUUUCUACUUAUUCGAGCUUGAUUGAUUUGUGUUAAAUGAGUUGACUUCAAAUUUGAGAUUUUUUUAAAUUAUCGACACAAGCUCAUACACAAUUUUACACUCGUUAUAUAAAUAAGUUAAAUUCAAACCUAAUUUUCAAUAAACCAAACAUCCUCAAACUGCAAAUACUUAGCACAACCUGUUCAUAACUGAAUUGGUAUAUCAUAUAACUGAUCAAGCUUUUAAAUUUCAUAUCUUUAUGAUAGCUUGUGCUCCUAGUUAACGGAUUUUAGUAGCAUAACAGUAACUUUAAAAGUUACAAUCAUUUACAAAACUUCUUCAGUCGUUAUUACUUCUAUUAUUUGAGAUUUUAAAUACUCGCGUAAAUGUCUAAAAAAAUCAUGGUGAAAAUAUCUAAAACAUAAAGAUAAAGAUAACAAGAUAGGAUAACAAGAUAAAGGUAAUGAUUUCAGAAGUAACCAAAAGUAAUCUAUUAUGACUUUCAAAAUUGUGACGUCUAUCACAAUCCUAUUUGGUUCUCUAGCUGAAAAACAGGUGAACUUGAAAGAACACUGGGGCGCGUGAACAAGUUAAAAUCUGAUUCCAGUUUUUAAAACUGCCAAGUCCAUUUUGUUUUUGCCCUUUUCAAACUGGAUCCAAGGAAAGAAGACCGUUCCUCGAUUUUGCUGCCUCAAUUACAUUCACAAAAUCUCUCUUAAAGACUAGGAUUAUAUCCUACACUACAGGCUAGUGCUACAGCCCAGUUUAGUGACUUCAGUCUUCUUCUCUCAGUUUUGACUGACCUCCUGGCUUCCUUCUCCAUCACUACCGCCCCAUCAGAAUAUUACCAUUUACUUCCAAUACCAACCAUUGGCUUCUUCUUCAUACAGCCUUUCAAUCUUCUGGCAAAAGAGAAAGUGACCCAUUUGGAGUUUUAGUCAUGUCUUUAUCUUUCCUUAACUUCAAACCAGAUAGCAUUGGCAAAAAUUGAGAGAUUACCAUUUCACUGAGAGAUAAGGGAAAAGAAAGAGAGGUCUGGGGCUGAUCUGGGCUUCUCAAGAAACAGGCAAACAACAAUGGUUGCUGGAAAAGUGAAAGUCGCCAUGGGAUUACAAAAAUCACCACUCAUAACUCCAAAGCCAAAACCCUCUUCAGAGUCAUCCCCAAAACCAGCAUUUUCCUCAUCAGCCAGUUCUGGAAAGCAACAGCCGUCAAACCAAAAAGGACCUGGUUUUUCGCGUUCAUUUGGAGCUUAUUUCCCCCGCUCGUCCGCCCAAGUCCAGCCUCGCCCGCCAGAUGUGGCCGAGCUCCUUCGAUUAGUGGAAGAGCUAAGGGAAAGGGAGUCCCGGUUGAAAACAGAACUGCUGGAGCAAAAACUCUUGAGAGAGUCUAUCGCCAUUCUCCCGGUUCUGGAAAGUCAAAUCUCUAACAAAGACGUGGAAAUCGAAAAAUCCAAGAGGAAGAUCGAAUGCUUAGAGGAUGAAAACGAAAGAUUACGCCAAGAAGUGGAGGUUUUACACAUGGAAAUUUCUAAGCAAAAUUGUAGAUACGAAGAAAAGAUAAACUGUUUGGAAUCACAAGUUUCAGAGAUGAAGAAGUCCAAUGAAGAACUCGCAACCGCCGUUUCAUCGUCACAAAAACAAGUCGAUUUUCUCAUCAAGUCGAAGAGUUUUAGGAAAAGUUUGAGCAUACAAACAAAUGGUCAAGUGAAUGUUCAAGCUACAGUUGAUAGUAGUAAUAAUGGUGCUUUAAAUUUGAAAUCUGAAUACGAGACAAAAAAGGAGGAUAGCACAUUAGGACUGGUUGAGAACGAAAAACCAAGGCAUGGUCGUCGCAACUCUGAUGAAAUAGUAGAUUCUUCAGAAAAUUUAAUGGGUUUAAAAUCCCGCGCUCCCCGGGUUCCUAAACCGCCUCCACGGCCGUCGUCUUCGCUUCUUUCAUCGUGUUCAUCUUCAUCAUCUGCUUCAUUGCGUUCUUCAUUAUCUUCACCUUCAUACGGGUGGUUAUCUGAUUCAGCAGAACGGGCACUGGCAGAAAUAUCUAAUAUUCCUCCACCGCCGCCACCUCCACCAGCCCCCCCAGCAGCAGCAGCAGUAAAACAAGCAAUAGCUCCACCACCUCCUCCUCCUCCUCCUCCACCGCCGCCUUCACGGCAUUCCAAGGCGGCUCCGCCACCACCUCCUCCCCCUCCUCCGCCAAGAGGGUUGAAGCCUGUGCCGGCUAAGGUGAGGAGGGUGCCCGAGGUGGUGGAGUUUUAUCAUUCCCUGAUGAGAAGGGAUUCGCGGCGGGAUACUGGCUGCGGAGCAGGUGGCGCCGCCGAGGUUCCUGCGGCGGGUGCGACGGCUAAGGAUAUGAUAGGAGAGAUUGAGAACCGGUCUACUCAUUUACUAGCUGUAAGUUUUAUUUUUCUUUUUUCUUUUUUUUCUGAGCCCAAUUAUCUUUGUCUGAGUCUAUUUACUAUUUUGCCACUGGGUUUUGGUCCUUUGAGACCCUCUGUCAUUGAAAGCUGACCAGUCCCUAGUGUCUUUUUGCUUUUGCUAUACCCCUAUCUGCGCUUUUUGUUGGUUUUUCCUUUGUUUUCUAUACAAGAUAAGACAGCCUAUGGAUUCGACAAAUCCAAUUUGGUUUUUAAUGCAAGGGUUGUCAUCUUAAUGCCAGCAUGUGGGCAAUUAUGACAAUUCAAUGCCAAGAACUUCUUCCAAAUCAAAGUUACACUCAAUGCAGAAGAACAACGGUUCUUGAAAAUUUUCGUACUUUGUCUGUUGGUGGGACUUGGCCCCAGAUUUCAUAUUGUUCAUAAAAUUGGCUACCUCAAAUGUGAAAAUUUCAUGUUGUUGUUGCCUACAACUAUACCUAUAUCUUUGCCAAGUAUAUGAGAAUUGUUAGAACAGAUAUGGGGAUUUAACAUUUGUCACUACUACUGUUUGAAAUGUUUAAAUUGUUGCAUCCCAUUUUUAUUGGUUAGUUGUUCAGAUUAUGAUGUGGAUAAAUUUCAGAUUAAGACAGAUGUAGAAACACAAGGAGAUUUUAUCAGGUUCCUAAUCAAAGAAGUUGAGAAUGCUGCAUUUACAGAUAUUGAGGAUGUUGUGCCUUUUGUAAAGUGGCUUGAUGAUGAGCUAUCUUUCCUGGUAACCUUCGUCUUAAUCUACAACAACUAUUUUAUUUUAUUUUAUUUUUUGGUAUCUGCCCACUUAAAAUUGAGGUUCUCAAUUUUCUUCCUUAGGUUGAUGAAAGGGCAGUAUUGAAACACUUCAAUUGGCCUGAGCAGAAGGCAGAUGCAUUAAGAGAAGCUGCAUUUGGGUAUUGUGAUCUGAAAAAGCUCGAAUCUGAGGCGUCUUCAUUUCGUGAUGAUCCUAGACACCCUUGUUCUUCGGCUCUCAAGAAAAUGCAGGCCUUGUUUGAUAAGUAAUGCAUUUCUCUCACUUACACUCGUUAAACUAUCUUUUAUUUUCAGUCUCUCAUCUUUCUUUACAAGAAUAGUUCUACUAUAAAAUCCCAUAAAUUUUUGUUUGGAUUGGCAUUUUUUCCCAAAAAAAAACUUUUACGUUUUCGGCGAACACAUUUUUCAAUCACCUUUUUACCUCACAUACAUCAAAUCGAAACAGCACAUUUUUCUACAGAUUUUUCAAAAAAAAAAAUAGCAAUCUAAGGAUGAUAAGGACACACCAACUAUGAUGCAUGAAUUUGUACGUAGGUCUAUUAUUCUAAGAAUGAUAUAGGUGAUUUAAUUUCAGACCCUACAUAUUUAAAUAAGUUUUUCUCAUAGUUGUUUAACCUAAUUGGUAGUUAGCUUUUUCGUUUCUGCAUGACUUUUUAAGCGUACCUAGCUAGUAGACGAAUAUCGUAAUUGAUUGUUUUCCACCCUACUAAACAAGAUGCUUGUUUUCUUGUGCAACAGAGUAGAGCAUGGUGUCUACAAUUUGUCAAGAAUGAGGGAAUCUGCAACAAACCGAUACAAAGGGUUUCAUAUUCCAAUGGAGUGGAUGCUAGAUACUGGAUAUGUUAGUCAGGUAUAAUUUACUUUUAAAUUCAGGUUUGGCCCUCGUAAUUGGAGUAAAACUCUUUAAAAUUCUGAUUAGGAAAACAGCCCAGUUACAAAUUCAUAAUUGCUCACUGAUUUUCUGUCCCCUGCUCACAUCUGCAAGCAAACUACAAUAUUGUACACGUACAGAAAAGCCAACUAUUGCUAAUAAUAUAAUCAUUUAUAGGUGGUCCAUGCAAUAAUUGUAUGUUUGUUGGUAUGAUUCAAUUGGCAAGAACUCGACCUCGCAUUAGAAAUAUUUGGGUUUUGCCUCCUAUGGAUUGUCAUUUUUCCUCGAAAAUUUUUUUACAUUUUUUAUGAGCACAUUUUUCAAUCACUUUUUUGCUUUGCAUGCAUUAAAUCGUUCCAAUAUAUUUUUUUUUUUAUAAAAUCUCUAGAAAAUAGCAAUUCAGACGGACCAGCUCCGUUGAUAGUAGGAACUAGUAAGUAAUUGAACCCUUAAUCCUCCUAAACUUUACAUUAAAAAAAAAGUAAUAAUUACAUGUUCAUGUUUAGAUGUACAACUUUUUAUCCAUGUAAGGCCAAUCUGAUUUGCCCAAACCAGUGGACUUCUUGUUAUACAAACUAGUACCCGAGUACCAAGAGAUGGUGAAUAAAAAAAUUGAAAGACUUUGGUCUACCAAGAAUUAUGCCAAAGUAUCGAUAGGUCUUACUAGAUGACAAAGAGAAAUAGAAAAAUUAUUAGCAUACCUCAAUUACUAUGCCCACGCCUGCAUGGGCACAUGUGAAUACUCAGAUCUCUAGCAUUUUAUUUGCUUGUCUGCAUUGCUUUUGAUGUUUGUUGUAGGUGAGUAUAAAAAGAAUCAGAUUCUACUUGUUGACCUUUUAAUAUAUAUCACUAUGGUUUUUUAUAUUUCCACACUUGUGUUGACCGGAAUUCUUUUAAUGGGGGGGUGGCCUUAAUAAUUGCGAGUCUAAAGUGGAAAGGUGUGAAGUUUCCUUCCAAUUCUCUUUGGAUUUACAUAAACCAAUAUGCAUAGGUUUGCAUGCAGAGUCAUUCCUUUCUUCAUGUGUCUUGUUUAGGCAAUUAAGACUUUAAUGUGUUAAUUUAAUGUUUAUUAAGGAAGACAAAUUGGAUCUUAAAUUCCAUAUUUUACGUGUAUUGUCUAUGAUGUUGUUGCAAUAGAUUGAUUGACUAGUAGUAGUGUAUUAGAAAUAAUAAUACAAUAGAAUUAACAAAAAACAAAAGUAAGAGAAAGGAUUUUUCCUUCCUUGGGAGCAUCAAUCAUCUUGCAUUGUUUACCUAAUGCUCUGCUUUAUCGUUUUCUUCCUUUUUGCUGCUUUUACGCGGGUGGUGGUUGUUACCUUCCAUAUUUGGGAUUUGCAACAAAUUAACCUUACACGCAAGUUGAUGGCUCAGAUUCAGAUAGAUAUGCACACAGAAUCUAUUGUACAAUAAUGGUUAGGUGUUUUUGAGCUUCAAAUGUUAUGUGAAUAUCCACCUAAAUUGUAACAUGUAAUUGCUACAAUUGGUUGGGGUGCUAUCCUAAUCUGUGUAAGUGUUCCAAAAGCGCAAGUGUUCCAAUAACAUGAAAACCCCACUUGGGAAAUAAAUUUACUAUCACCGAGAAUUAUGAUGGUCCUCUGAAUUAAAGAUGGCAAAUUUUGGCCAUAAUCCAUUUCAAGAACUGUUUCAAUUCCCUCUUGGUUGGGGAAUGCCACAAAUGAGAUGAGGGCUUGUGAUUGAUAAUAAUGCAUGGGGGCGGGGACAUUAUUGCAGAUAAAGCUGGCAUCUGUGAAAUUGGCCAUGAAGUACAUGAAGAGAGUUUCAGCAGAACUUGAGACCGUGGGUGGUGGUCCCGAGGAAGAAGAGCUUAUAGUUCAAGGUGUUAGGUUUGCCUUCCGGGUUCACCAGGUAAUGUUUGGCUUGCAUUCAGUACACGACGAUCCCUACCAUUUUGGCUUUUCUCCUUCACAUGCAUAUACAAGUCCAUAUACACACGUAUAAAAUUGAAACAUGCAUUUACCUUCGCGAAAUUUCCUAAAUUAAAACCUUGUGUAGAGCUGAAUGUAUGUCUUGCAUUUCAUGUCAAGAUUGACUAAUUCACACACCAUCAGGGGAGGGUAGAGUUGGGUGGUAAGGUGAGAAUAUCAUAGUUAUAAAACCCGUUCUAACGUCGAACCAGUCAAUCCGGUGAAUUGGCCAUAAGCCCUCGUUUGCGGUUGCGGUACAUGAAGUGCUUUCUUAUACGUCAUUGCAACUCCAAAUGGGGCUUAACACACUACCAAAGAUAUAGUACUACCAUAUUAAUUUGGUAAUUUACAAGGGCAUUUUAGUAAUUAAGCAUGGUUAUCAGUAAUCAAAAUGCAUGUUUUCAUUAGGUAAUUUAUUUUUGCUACAAUGCUUGCCUAAUUGAUUUUUGGUUGUACAUUGUUGCAGUUCGCUGGUGGUUUUGAUGUGGAGACAAUGAGGGCGUUUCAAGAGCUGAGGGACAAGGCAAGGUCCUGCCAUGUACAAUGUCAAAAUCAGCAACAACACAAGUACCUUUGCAGGUCCACAGCUUACUAAUAAUCUCAUCUGUAGCCAACUCAGCUUCAGAAACUGGCUUCCAUGACAUUUUGGUGUAAAGAUACAAGAGGGAUAAUCACAGAUGUGAAUAUACAAUUGCCUGCUGCCAUUUUGCACUUAAAUAUAUACAUUGAUUUAUUUUAUAAUAACCUCAAUUGUUUCUCAACUUAAAAGAAGAAGACUGAAAUUUGGUGGAUGCCAAAAUCAUCGAGCCCCCCACCUUCGUAGAUUUGCAAGGGCCAAUGUUUGCACGAGGUUUUCGAAUCUAAUUCAAUCGAUGAUUUGUGGGUGCGUUUGGAGCUGCGGUAGUUUAUUGAAAAAUAUUUCUUCUCUAGUAGGAUUUUAAAUAAAAAUGCUUAUUAACUGUUUAAAUACUUUUAAAUAUAUUAUUUGAAGACAUAAUUCAACAAAUACUCAUUGUAUUGAAUAGUGCGUAAUUUGAAAAUUUUUAAAAGUGUUUAUCUUUGUAUUUGAUUCAUAAUAUAGGAUAAAAUGAUUAAAUUUGAUGUUUUAUUUUUUAAAAUCACAAAAGCUACUCUAAAAGCAUCACAUUUGAGAUUUUGCUAAAAAUGCUUUGAGCACCAGAAACUCUACUUCUAAAUUUAUGAGAUGAUGUUCAUCAAACACUUUAAAAGUUACUUUUAACACCUAAAAGUACUUUUUUACUAAAAGCAUUGCAAUUCCAAACGGGGCUAAUUUGGAGUUGCGGUGCUUUCUGUUAAAAUAGUGCUUUUAGAAGAUAAAAGCACUUUUAACAUGUUUGAUCAACAUCAUUCCUAGAAUUUAGGAGUAGAGUUUUUGGCCAUUAAAGUUCUUUUAGCAUAAGCUCAAAAUUAUUGAUUUUAGAGCAACUUUUAUGUUUAAAAAUAUAAAAAAUUAACUUAACAACUUUAUUAUAAAUUUUGAACUAAAUGAAGAGAUAAAUAUAUUUUAGAAAUUCAAAAUCACCUAUUAUCAAAUAGAAAAAGUACUUAUGCAAGUACGUACCUACAUAAUAUGAUUAACUACUUAAUUAGUACUUUGAUAAAAAGUUCUAUUAAUUAACAUGCUUCCUGAUAAACCAUGCAACUCCAAACAUACCCUUAAUAAGAAUUGGCAUGAUUUUCUUCCCUUGCGUAAGCAUUUUCUCGAAGAGAAAACUGCAUUUGGAAGUAAGUUUGGAGCAUGUCCCGGCGUAGUGCUAAAUUGAAGUGGGGCGGAUGUUCUCUUGUUCGCCAUCAAAUUAGUCAAUUGCAGUGAACACAACCCCUUCAGAAAUUUGGGCCGGCUGUGCUCAUCGAAGGUUUUGAAUUGGGUUUCGUGUCUUCCUCCUCCAUGAGUGGUUAGAUAGGAGAUUAUUCUAAGAGAAAGAUUAGGAAUAAGACGUCAUAAUAUAAUGAUACGAAAUAUAUGAAAUAAAAAUGUGAUUCGUAUUAUAAAAAAUUGCUUAGAAAAUAUAUUUAAGAUGCAAAAAAAAUGAUAUUUGCAAAAAAUUGGAUAUCCAAACACAAUACUUCAAGUGUCAACCAUAGAGAUAUUAAUUAAGUAAUCGUGAGAUCCUUAAUUCCAUCCUCAUACCUUCCAUAAUCUUCGUUUCCUUUGCAAGACUUAGAACCAUCCUUGAACAAAUGUCAAAAAAAUAAAAAGUACAAAAAUAUUUUAAUAAGGGUUCUUCAAUGUUUCAAGACCUAACUCAACUAAUAUGGGAUAUUAGUUUCUUGGUUAAGUAAGAAAGCUUCCACGUAAACAAAAUAUUAUAGAAAUACCUUUUCCUUUUGAUAUUCAAUGGGAAGGAGAAAAGAUAGACAUUAUGUAAAUUGUGGUGACACUAAAACUCUUUGAAUUGUACAUUUGGACUUUGUGUUAAAAAUAGCACUCAUAAUAAUUCUUUGAGAUGUAAUGUAUGUUAAGUAAAAGAUGAAUUAAAACUUUAUGAAAAAAAUAUUCAUUUAAAAACUCAAAAUUAUUCAUGAAACUAACAAUUCAACUCUUGUAAUUUGUGUUUGAUAGUGGUUAAUUUUAUAAAGAAAGCAUCUCAUAAAUUUGUAAAGAAAACAUUGGUGAAUUAUAAAGAAAGAAAAUCCAACAAUAAAAAAAGAAAAUUGCAAUUCAACUGCGUUUUGUGAGGACCUAGUCCGUUCGUACGUUGAGAUUAGGGUUAUUCAUUAUUUUGUACGGUUAAAUUAAGGUUUUAGGGCUAAGGAGAAACCCUAAUCUCGGCCAAGAUUGAAAACCCUAACUUUGCUUAUGAUAAAACCCUAGUUUCUGCGGUAUUCUAGUGUGUGUUUUGGCACAAGUAAAAAUAAGAUUUGUUAUAGUUUACAGAGGUUUAACAAGUUUGAAAAUGGUUAGUAAACUCUGGAUUAGUAAACCUCUAGUGUUACAAUAUUAGAAAGCUUAAGAGGAGUUUUGUUUAUCGCCCGCCUUUUCUACAUUUUCUUUAUUAGAAAAAUUCCCCAGAUAAUUUUUAUGAGUAAAUAUAGAUUUUAAAUGAUUUUUCUAGUAUCGGUUAGUUUUUGCGAAAUUAAGAACGUACAUCGGAUGUGGGACCCACUAGUGCGAAAAGUUCGGAAAAAUUCGGCCAACUAGGUUAAGUUUUGGAUAUUGGAUUUCAUUUACCAGGUGUUAUGAGAUAAUUGAAGGUUGUUAUAUGGAUGAGAGUGGAGAGAGACAAAGUGAUAGAGAUGCAUUAAAUAAGGUGACAAGUGUCACCAUAAGAUUAACUCUUACAAUUUGACUUACUAUUCAUACUUUUACCAUUUUGCUUAAAUAUCUCAAAAAUUUGACCCAAAAAUUAUCAAAAAUUCCUCCAUAAGAGCCGCCCCUCUCUUCUUCUCUUCCUCUCUCUCUUACUCCAAGCACAAGGAAGAAACACUUCAAUCUUGUUCCAAAUCAUCAAAACCAACCAUCCAACCUUGAUUUUGCUCCAUAAAACACCUUCAAGUGGUGGUUAUGAGUUGUUUUGUGGAUUUGUUUGGAAAGUUAAGGUGGUCAAUAGCUCUCUCUCUUGUUCUUAAGGUAAGUUGUGAAGAACCACCUUCUUCCUUUAAUUGAUGCUUAAAUCAUACUUAGUGGUAGCAUAAGAUGCAAAGUUAUGGUUUAUUUCUUGAUUUGUGGUUGUAGUGAUGAAGUUUUAUUAUUUUUGGGAAUUUUCUGUUUUAAUAUAAGCAUGAUGGUAUGGUUAUCUAUGAUAAUGGGAAAUGGUAUAUAAUAACUCUAGGAGGUGGAACAAGUGAUUAAUUGCACCCAAUUUCUGAUUUGGAAGGAAUUUGAGAAAAUUAGGGUUUUAUAUCCCCAAUUCUGUCCGAUUUUGUAUCUCAUGGUUAGAGGCCGAAUUGGCCUUGGCUUAAAACAUGAAAGUUGUAGGUAAUGAUGUUUUAAAAGUGCCUGCAAAUUUCAGGUCCAUCGGAGUAGUGUAGAGUGAGAUAACUCGAAAUUACUAUUGCUGUUCUGGUUUACCCAGAAUUGGAAAACUGUGAUUGUAAUUGGUUGUUUUGGCUAGGAAUGCUUCCGAAUUGAUUGUUGUGGUCUUCUGAUGAAAUGUAGCCCUGUUUCUAAGCUUUCAUAUGACUUUGGAAUUUCUGGAUUUAGACUUGUGUAGGCUAAGUUAUGAUGUUUACGCUAGACUGCAUUUUGUGAACCUGUUUGCGGUUCUGGGAUUUUGUACUGCAUUUUGACCUAGUUAUACUCGAAACUAGAUUGAGUGGUCUUCUUCAACAUUGUAGCCCCUUGAGUCCUGAAUAUACCUGUAAAAUCUCAGGUCAAAUGGAUUAGUGUACUCUGAGUUAUGGACAAAAACCUCAGGCCUGUUGUUUUAGACAUUACUUGGUGUACGUUUGGAAUUUCAGCUUCUGACCGUGGGUUUUUCCGUUUUGAUACCUUGCGAAUUGGGUGCUGAUCCCUUCAUAAGAAAUUUAGAUCGUGGUCUCAGCUUUGAAAUGGUAUAGAGUGCGUCGAAAUCCAAGUUCCGUAGCUCCUGUUAUGACCGAAAUAAAAGUGAUCGUCAGAACUGCCUUGUAUCUGGACAGUUCUGACGGGUACUUUGGCACUCGAUUUUCGUUCUGUUUUGAGUGGAUUCAGGUCUUGGCCAAAACAUCAAAGUUUUACCUUAUGUCUCAGCUUUCUAAUGCCUUUGGAAUUUUCUGAUUUGGAGUUGUGAGCUGGGAGUUAUGGUCUAGCAAAAACCCUGUUCGUCACCCUAAGACGUAAACUUCUGGUACCGUCUUCCACGAUUUCGGCCUGCUUUGAUUCAGAUCUAGAUUAAGGUGUCUUCAUGAAAAUUGUAGCUCUAUCUCAUAGCUUCGAAACGGUAUCUUGUUCACUUUGAUCCAACAUUUUUAGCCUAACUUUUGACCAAAACGGUUUGAGAUGGCAGAUUUGGCCGUCCCGUUUGCCGUUCCGCGCAUACGCGUGUGCCCCUUUUUGCCGUUUCUGCACUUGCGCGUGCCAAUUUUGUCGUUCGGCUUGUUUUAAGUACGUUAGUGGCCGUUUGUGAUAUAUUAUGACACAAUCUUCUAUUUCAGACAGUGGUGAGUUAGGCGGAGCCGGUGGGGCUCACUACUAGCGAAACAUGCGCGAAGCAAUUUUGCUUUUGUACUACUUUUGUAUUUUGAGUAAGUAUUCAGGCCGCUUUUAUGUGUUAGUUGCUUAUGUGUUUCGACAUGUAUGAAGAGGGUACUUAGGCGAGGGUGUACUUUAUCGCACUCGCUCUAAACCCGAAUUUACGCUCAUAUUUGUACAUGACAUAUGUAUGUGAAUCAUUUUGGAACUAAAACCCUUGAGCUUGUGGCUCGGGGUGAUUUUGAAUAAUUUUGUGAAGUUUGUGAGUUUGGGGCGAGCUCUUGACCUAGAUGGACUAUUCGAGCCGGUUAGGGCUUGGUCGAAGUCAGUCCAACCUGGUUGGAGGUCACCAAGUUUGUGAAUCCGGUUCACCGAGUAUGUGGACCAAGUUUGUGACCCGAGCUUGUGACUCAAGCUCAAGUUUGUGAUUUCGUUCGCCCGGGCAAAUUUGUGAGGUGACUGGCCAGUGAGGGUGAUAAGGUGUCGGUGGGUGUACAAGUGAAGUUCUACGGACCAUUAAGUGUGGUCGACGGAGUGUCGGCAGGAGAUCACGCAUGGCAUACGAAUUGGUUUUGGAGCCACCUGUAUCCUUAUUAUGUGAUGUUAUUUUUCUGCUUUUGCUUUACUCUUACUAUGUCACUGUUGUUACGUGAAAUUUACGCUUUUGCCCCUGUUUACUUACUAAGCAUAUAGCUUACCUCAUUGCUUUUGUUUUCCUUAGCAGGGGCCGACGCGGGGACUUUUGGCUCGUACACUAGUAUAGUUAGAUUGACUUGUAUUAGUUGAACAGUUAGAAUGUUUGUUUUUGUUUUUGUGGUUUGUAUAAGAACCCUUCUUAGGGUCUAUCUUCUGCUGGUGGUGGUUAUAGUGUAUUAGAGUGGUUUGACUCGAGACUUUUGAAGAUGUAAAUAUAACUUUUGGGAUUGUAUAUAUUGUAUAUAGUGAUCUUUCGAUUUAUCUAGUUUUAUUGCGUUAAGUUUUGAGUCCUGGCGCGAGUUAGGCAGGCGGCCCGCCGAUACCCUUGGGUUCGCCCUUAGGAAAAGCGGGGUCGUCACACGUUUGUAUUGAAAAUUUUGACAAAAAAUUUGAAAUCCUCCCAAAUCUUUCUAAUUGUUUAUUUAAGAAGACAUUUAAAUUUAUAAAUCACAAAUUAUUGUCAGGUUCAAAGCGUGUUUUGAUUUUUGAUAAUGGAUGAAUUAUAAAUUUAAAUAGCUUUUAAGCAAUAUUUAUGUGAAUUUCCUUGGUCAAAUUCCUCAUCCAAUUGAAUUUAUUUCCAAUAUUUAUGUGCCUCUAUCUCUAUCUUACCACAAUUAUGCAACCUAUAUGAAAAAAAAAAAAGAAUUAUAAAGAUAAUAAAUUUUAAAAUUAGAUUACUUUGGAUAUAUAUUUUAAAAGAAGAGUUAUUUUGGCAAUAAACUACAGCUAUUAGUGCCCAAUGGAAGCAAGAUCAAGAAGCUAAGAAACAAAAUGAUGAUUGCUUCUACUUCUUUCACUGCCACCUCCACUGCUAAACUUCUUCAUUCUUCUUCUGCAACCCGCAAUUCUAACCCUUUUCUUGGAUUCACACACAAGACGCCUACCAAACAGUCCUCUUCUCCGCCUCGCCGUGUCCUCCACCUGGUUCUCACGGCUUCAAUUUCAAGAUCAUCACCACCAGCAGCUCCACCACCAUCGCAACCCAAAACAAGCAUGGCUAGUGAAACUGUUCCCUCCCCUUCAAUGAAGCUGUUGUUCGUUGAAAUGGGUGUUGGAUAUGAUCAACAUGGGUACUUUCUAUUCUUUUUCAAUCCCCUUACCACCUUUUUGUUUCGAUAUUCAAUCUUUUUCGAUAUCUGAGUUUUUUUUCAAGUGUUAAAGAAAUUGGGAAGUGGAUAUAUAGAAUAACUGUGGUUCUCCAUACGUUGUCAUGUGGAAUUGAUACUUUCUUGGGAGUCGUAUGUGUAUGGGAAAUUGAUGGAGAAGGAGAGGGAAGAGUGAAAAAUGAGUGAGGGAAUAUGGGGAGAAAAAGAAUAAAGAGUCAAAUAAGCGGAAGAAGAGAGAGAGCAGAAACAGGAAAGGAAGAAGAAAGCGAUCUCUGAGAGAUUUGACUUUAAAGUCGACCUCUAUGACAUUAAAACUUUAGAGGGGAUUUUUCACAAAUUUUCCUGGUUUGGGAAUAACAAAUUAAAACUAGAAAUAAUAUAUUGUUUUCAAAAUUUCAACACAAGUUUCAAAAUUCAAGUAUAUAGCCCAUUGCAUAAAAGCGGGAUUUUGGAUGUAGUUUUAGCUGAAAUUAGAGAAUGGAAAGGUAAGACGUAGCUUGCUAGUGAUUUCUUAAGAAUACAAAGAGAUGGGACUUUGGCCUGAGCCCUAUUAUACAGAGCAGUUUGUUUGCUGUAUGUUUUUUCGUUAAAACAAAAAAAGGAUCUUGGAUUAAGCAUAUUGGAAAUGAGUGAAUGAACAGGCAGGUCAAUAGUUUAGAUGAAUUUCGUGGAUUUUGGACUGGACCAUAUGAUAUGCAGUAAUAAGCUAAUGUGCAUGUUGGUUUGAGUAGAAUGGGAUUUUGGACUGAAUCCAGUUUAAACAAAUGGAUGAACAGGCAAGAUAUUACUUCAGCUGCCAUGCGAGCUUGUAGGGAUGCUAUCUCUUCCAACUCCAUUCCUGCCUUCAGGAGAGGUAAUUGUCACCUUGUUAUUAUUAACUAAAGUGUUAAUCUGUUCAUAAGUUUCUGAUGAUUUAUUCAUCUAUUAUUAUGUAUGGAAGCAAUAUAUGCAACUAUCUGAAAAUUACAAGGUCAUAUGUGAACACUUUUUGUUGUGCUUAUUGAUCGAGGAAUAAUUGUUGGUUUUCAUUGCUCCAACUUAAUUUAUGAAUUCACAUGUGGGGUUGGAUUUACUGCUUCAUUAUUCAGAAAGAAUGUAUGCCUGAUUACCCCAGAAUGCUAGCAAUUCAAGUAGAACAUCUUUGAACUUAGAAAGAAACAUAACUAGAAUACUUCCCCUACCUUUUCUUGAGUGUCUUUGCGAUUUGGAGAUCGAGGCUUGUUGCUGCAGGGACUAAGAUAUGAAUGAGGGUCCUCUGGCCAUUUAUUCUUUAACUCAAAGCCAAUGUUUUGAUAAUUGUUAGCCAGAGGGACUGCCUAUAUUUGUUUCUGGCUCUUAAUCUUGGAUACUAUGCAUCCUAUAACAUUUUAAGAUGAAAUAUUCUUAUCUGAAUCUGGAAUUUUAGUCUGCUUGCUACCAAAUUGCAGAGUCCACUCAGACUCUGAGCAGAUAGAAGUAUUUCAUUGGAAUAACUAGGGUGAAAACGUUUCAAGAGUCAAACAUUUCUUAGAAGAUGCCUUCUGCCUUUCUCACUGAACUGAGCACUGUAGCUUCCCUUUUUCUCUGAACAACUAGGAUAUUAUUACCUAUCAAUGCCCAAUUUAAGACCAUCAAUUGCCAAACUUGUUUUCAUGCUCGCUUUCUGUUUCCUAUCCUCACCCCCAGUGCUGUUUGUCCUCUUUUGAUAAGCAAGCUUGGGUUUCAAGGUACCUUUUAACUGCUUCAAAAACGAUAGUGUCUUUUAUUUAGAUACCAUGAGUAACAAGCACAUAUUCAGUUGUACUGUGAUUUCUAUUACUCGGCUUUCUUCGUGAUGUAUGUAUUGAUUAUAAUAGUAUUCUUAUCAUAAACAGCUGACUUAACCAUGCAUUCCUUCUUUACCACGAUUAGAUAUCUUGAUGGCGCUGCACAUUCCUUGUGUAAUGUGUUGAAAGACUAGAAAGGUCAGGAUUCAUUGGCUGAACCUCUAUUGUUGUUUGAAAGAAGAAACAAGGUAUAGACAAAAGGAUAGAGAAUAGAACAUCAAAGCAGUAGCUCAGAUGUUCCGUGCAGGUUUUUGAAUUCUGAAAUCUAUGUUGGUUUUUUUCAAAUCUUUGGUUCCUCAAUUGUCUUGGUUGUACAAUUGGGUUUUUCUAGUUGCUGCCAAUUAGAAUGAGUAAUUGAAACAUGUAUUUGAACCCUUUGUUGUUUUUAAAGUUAAGCAGAACAUUUGAUUCAGCUUUUGUCAUAGCUUUGCGUGUGCAAAUCUUGAGAUGCAAACCAUUUUGCGGCAACCUUGUGCUUGCACGGAUACCUUUCUAUAUUUAUCUGUUUAUAAAGAAAAAAUCCUAUAUUUGAUUCUCUUCUCUCUCUCAAAUUUGAAGCUUGCACUCUUUGAUUAUUAACUUUAGAAACUGUUGGUAUCUAUUUGUGCCAGCCAGAAGCUCUAUGCUGAGCCAUAUUAAGAAUAUUCAAAGAGAAAAAAUUAACAAUGUGAAGAAAAUGUAAUUCUGCAUUUAUGACAACAAGGAAAUGCACUUCAAAUAUUUUAGUUGCAAACGGUUUGCUUUGUCUAGGUCAAACUAUGGCUUGUUUUUUUCUCCUAAUUUGGAUAUUCUGUUGUUGGUCUUUUUUUAGUGCGGCAUUAUGUUGUCAUUUGUAAGCCUUUAAAUUGAAUGUUUAUUGUUGUAAGUAGUAACUUAUGUAGUAGAAUGCUUUGCUUAUUGCAGGUUCUAUACCUGGUGUUUCAUUUAAUGAGAUGAAACUACAGAUCAAAUUGGGAGUUCCUCGACCUCUCCAGAAUUCCCUGGAAAUUGAGAAAGUCAAGUCUGUUUUCCCUUAGUGAGUAUAAUGCACUCUUUUCAGUACUGUGUAUAAACCCAACCUUCUGAUUCUCAAAUACGUAUUGGAGCUUAGCAUAAUUUCUUUAUGAAGUUUGCAUCAGAUUCUUAUCGCUGAGGUACUGUCAUGUUGUCCAUUUCUGUCUUAGGUUAUUCUUAACUUGUAAUUAAGAUAUCCUAGAUAAAUCCCAUUAUAUGUCAAUUUUGCUGAUAUAUCAAGCUGUGUGUCUAUUGUUCUUCUUGUUGUAUGGCAUUCUCUUAUAGUUUUUAGUAACAAUGAUGCAUAAUUAACAAAAGUAUUACCAUCUUUUCAAAGAAAAAGUUCUUUUUGUCCUGGAGUUUUCUCAAGAAUACAGGGUCUUAUAUAGAAGCUUCUUUCUAUUUCCCAACUUUUCGGUAACUCUGAAAGUGUUAGAUUUCAUGUUGUUACUUUUCUUCUUUCUCCUUAUUGUUGUUACUGGGGGUUGGUUUUCAGCUCGAGAAGGACAGUAGGUGGGGGGAAGGGGAACUGGGAGAAAAUUCAACCUUUUCUUUUAAUUGCCUCAAAAAAUGUUCUUUCUCUGCGACUCAUGGCUGUCUUUUUGUCUCUUUGACAGUGGAAGCAUCUUGAGCGUUGAAGUCGUGGAUGGUGGGCUGAUAUGCUCAAGUGGUGUGCACGUAGAAGAAAUGGGUGAUAAGAAUGAUGACUGCUACAUUGUGAAUGCUGCUGUUUACGUUGGCUAUUGAGUUGUUUUCGUGACUGUCUAAAGAUGUCAGCUUUAUCCCUUUGUCCUCAUUACCAAGUAUAUCACUUUCACCUUGAUGGCUUACCAGAACUGCGUAGGAUAGAUGGUUCUUUUUCCAGAUAACGUAAUAGGCACAAAAUGAUUCAAAAUAGUGGAUUUGUUUGUUUUUUCUUGCUGACUCACACAGAGAUGUGUGUGGACAAACACGACAUGUCUGUCUUGCUUAGAUUUGCUAAUAUGCCUUUGUUUGUUGUGGUUGUGUUGCUUGUCUUUUUAUAGACCUUGAGAUGUUUGAAUUUUACCACAUGUUGUCUGAGAUUGAUAAAUAUGCCGAUACCAAUGAUGCUGUUUUUCGUGAUGUCUUCUCUGGCAUUUUCUGCAUGUCAAACUACCGACACGGCUACCGCUACCGCCACCGCCACCGCUACCACCACCGCUACCUACCGCCUCCGCCACCGCUGCUGCAUCCAGCAUGACAAAAACAGCAUUUCUUGCUGCUAUGAUCUGCCGAUCCCGCUACCGCCACCGCAUCUAGCAUGACAAAAAUAGUAUUCUUUGCUGACUUGCUGCUAUGAUCCGCCGAUCCCAAUGCAUGCUAAAAGCAAGACUUGAGGGAGUAAGGGCAAAAGAAGAUGAGGAUCAGAAUUUUCUCAUAUGCCGACAUCAUGAUUGGGGUCAUCUCUACCUGGUUGCUUGCAUUUGUGUUACUAACACGUGAAAGAUACUUGAUCAUGAGGUGUAUACAGGAUUAAGUUUUUGUACUCUCUUUUGUCUCUACUUUUCCGGUUGAGACAGAUUUCUCUUUGCCAAAGUCCGCCAAUUGGUUACCUUUGCACGUCCUGAGCCUUUAUCUUUGCUUUUCUUUUCUCGUUUGGUAGUAGAAUUUGAGCUAUAAUUAUGAGGGGCCUAACGAAUUACUCGUAUCUUUGACUGACUUUACAUGGUAAAUGAAAUGUCAGUAGUUGAGAGGUUGUGUUGGUGCUUGCUAUACUGAGACGCUAUCUUGAGACAGCCCAUUUUUCUUCUCUGGUUUUCACUCUCUGCAGCAUGCAUCCACCUACCGUAUUGCUCUUAAUGAAGAAUCUCUUGUUUAAUUGAAUUGCCGAGCAACUUGGCUUUGUGAAAAAGGAAUGUUGUUGUUCACUUGAGGCAUGGGCUAAGAACAGAAUAGAGGUGCAAAUAACAAAUAGACUGCAUUCUUGGCUGUACUUGUACAAGUAUUCAAGCGUGAGUUGAUUCCUAACGGAAGCAGCCUUGUAUAUGUUUACAUUUGUAAUUCCAAAAGCAUGAUUUUCUCUGUCUUAUUCCUUUCUACGUAGAUUUAAUGAUAGGACAAGUAAAUCUGCAGCCUUGAUUGUUUCCACGAAUACAGGUCAUGCAGAUCAUUCCUGCGAGAGCUAAAGCAAAGCAUAGAGGAGCUGGUUCCAAGUAUCAGGCACCCCAGGAAGGCACCAAUGGCUGCAGUCAUUACCCGAUUUCGAACCACCGUAACCCGACGGAUGAGCAUCUUUUCUCAGUUGUGAGAGUGUUGUAAUAUCAAGCAGCACAACUGGUUUCUGCAUGCUGCUUAGGGUCUUUUUAACCACGUCCACAGCCGGGGGUAAUCCUGCUGGAU